UGUUCGCUAAUCUGAUUGGCUACAGCGGUCAAAUUUCUCGUGGUUGAUGGCAAAUUCGACGAUUUGAUAAGGGUUUUCAGCAAAGACGACGCCAUUGUUGUUAUUUGCUAUUUUACCCGCAGCAGCAGCAGUAGCAGUAGCUGAGAGAGAGAGAGUAGCAAGAUGGUACCCUCAAAAAUUAAAUGGGCCUCGGAUUUAGUUAAAUAUUGGGCUAUACUCUUAGGCCCACACCGCCUCAUGGAAGAAGGAAAAAUAAAAAAUAAAAGGAUAAUUAAUUAUUUUUUUAAAUCCUAAAUUUUAGUUUAAAACCUGACUAUAAAAAGUCUAAUAUUCUCGGAUUGUAUUGUAAUUACCUCGACCUUUUUUUUUUUUUAAAUGAAUAUGAUAUAUCUAAAUUUAACUAAAAUCUAAAUAAAUAUGAAUGCUUAAAUUAAUUCUCAUAUUUCGAACAUUCUUGAAACCACGAUCUAGCUUCUUAAGACCUAAUUUCUGGGUUCAUGCUCCAAUGAGUUAUCUAAAUAUCAGUCUCUUCGAUUAAUUUGUUAAUCAAUCAACUAUUGUAUAUAGAGAUGCAUUCAUAAAACUCUAUACAAUUAUUCACAUGUUGUACACUUGAUUACGGUAUACCAGCGUUCAUGUUCAUCAACCAGAUCAUCAUAUCUUAAUGAUGCAGGCUCGUGAUCAGCAGCUGUAUCAGGCUGCAGCUACUGAUUCCCAUGCGCUGCAUAUCCAACGUCUGGAGGCAAAUAUCAGCGCCGUUUGCAAGAAGCUAUCACCAGUAUCUCCGUACUUCCAGACCUCGUAUACCACCAGAGGUACAAUCCAAUGACCAUUUCCCCGACCAGUAAACUAUUACCUGGCCUUUCUUCAUCAGUCCUUUGACUCAAAUCAGAAUAUCCAGAAUUCAGUUGUAUUCAGUGUUAGAUACAAUAGGAUCUAUGAGGGUUUUAUCUUUGAUCCAACUUCCAGGUUCUUCAUGAAUGGUAUUCUCACAGAAUUCAUAGAAUCCAAAAUAUCAUUCGCUUCAUGUUCCUUCCCUGCAUACCUGUAUAAAUGCACAGCUGCACUCAUGAUAAACUUGUCUGAUUCUGAGGACUCUCUGACCUCUUCAAAAAGGUUUAUUCCUUCCUCAAUGUAUCCAUGGUCCAUGUAACCUUUCAGCAUUGUCCGAUAACAAGCAAGGUCAGGAAUUAAACCAGCUGCGAGUGAUUCAUUGUAAACCCUCGUAGCCUCUGCCAUCAGACCCGCCUUAGAAAAAGCAGAUAGCAAGUGGUUGACAUGUGUGCACGAAGGGGGAAUCCCUUGCUUCUGCAUAGAAUUUAUUGUUUCCUCUGCUUCUGAGUAUUUGGCCGCCUCUGUAUAAGCUUGUACGAGGGAAAGGUAGGUGAAAGAGUUGGGCGAAAAACCAUCUCUCUGCAUGGCUUGGAUUAGUUUCUCAACUUCAUUAUAAAGUCCCGCAGCAGCAUAUACGUUGAUGAUAAUGUUGUAGCUAAUCUGCAGUUCCUCAAUGAAGAAGGGAGAGAACAUUAAUACAUCAUCCAGAAACAAUAAAUUUACCAGAUAGUACAAGUGUACAUGUUGAAAUUUAAAGAAUUUGGACAAUCCCAAAAAGAAGAUAUGCAGUUGAUAACCAUGUGGAGAUUAUUUCAGAACAUUUCACACUAUAAACAAAUGGACUCAUACCGAGUGUAACAAUUAUUUAUUUAUUGUUUUAGUUUAUAAAAUAGAAGCCUUACACAUAUUUUAUGAAUGAUAUUGGUGAUGUAGAUCCAAUACCCAAACUAUCAUGAAAGAGAUAUGGAUGGAGAAUAGAAUAAGAUAUCAUCCGUUUUUUAUAUUGUUAAGCAAUUAGGUUUCCUAACGUCGAAUCGGAGUAAUCCUGUCAAUGAACAUUUUAAAAAACAAUUAUUGUUUACCGAUUAUAUUAUAUUCAGAUUAUUUUAUUAUGGGAGCUAGAAUUUGGAAAAUUUUAAGGGCAUACCAGCCCUGGCUUUAUCCCUUCUUCUUGCAUUUCAGAGAAUAGAAGGGAUGCUUCGUGAGUUUUACCUGCAAAAUGAGUAAAAUAAUAAAGCUAAAGAACACUUAAACAAAAUAAUGAAUCCGAUACCCAACAAAUUUAACUACUAGAUAUUCAAAAUAUUAGAAAAGGAAUAAAUCAGUCAUGUAUUAAAAUACAACAAUCCAACUAUGUGACUGGCUUGUCUUUCAUGUAUCAAUUCAUCUAUAGGUGCUAAGAGUGAUCAGCCAUGAUGAUUGAUGCACAAAAUGAUGUUUCAUUGACAGUCUUCAUGAUGAUAUGAACUAAGUACAUCUUGAAAGAACCAUAAAUAUAAAUCGUGGAUAGUUGUAAUGACAUUUCUUUUGGUAAUAUUAAAAAAAAAAAUUGUCUAGAAUUGGAAGAACACCAUUCUUUGAAGAUGCUAAGACAAUAAAAGAAAAUUAAUCAGUAUGGAGAUGGAGAUAGCCUGUUACCAGCCUUCCCAUAAAAGCUGACAAGAUUCAUGUAUGCCUUCUCAUCGAGAGACAGACCCAAGCUACGAGCUGUGUUGAACAUCUCUAAAGCUUUAUCCAGUUUUCUACCUCUUCCAUAGACACUGAACCCAAAGUGAACCAACAGAAGCAGAAAAUUCAUAAGAAGGGUAUAUACACAUGUAAAUGUCCGAAAGAUGAAACAUUUCUUGAUUCAUAUUCUGGCAGCCCCAACAUGGAAUAUGUUUCCUCCCAUGCUCAUAAAACAUGCAGAAAAACUCACUAAUCAGUGAAUAGAAUAAUUGUCUGAUCCAUAAAAGUCAACAAACAUGCGCAAACAUAAACAGGCAGAGAGAGCAGGAGGGAGGGAAGGAGGGAAGGAGAGAGGGGUUAUAAAUCUAACUUUGAUAUAUAAAUAGAUAUAGAAGAAUCUGAGUAUACUAAACAAAAAAUAUAAAGAUUACUUAGGUGGACCAUGUCUCCAAAAAUAAAAUCAAAAGAGACAAAAAGGGGAAGCAAAAUAAUCAAUGCAAAGCCCCUCCAAUACCCACAAAGAAACCAUUAUUCUCCAAUCCAAAACAAUCCAUACAAAUUAUCCCAAUUAACACAAGCUCCCUCCCAAAUUAAAUGUAUUAACAUGAAAAAAGAUAACAGAAAAUUUUAAAGUCCUUUGCGACCAAAGCCCAAAUUGGUGCCCAAAGCCUAGCUCCAUCCCACAUACUCUCUAUGUUUCCUUCCUUUCUCUUUCACAAAUACAAUUGUUUCUUUCUGGCCAUAAAACCCAAAAAAGAGCCAAAAAGACACGAUACCUUAUCAUUGUAUUGUAUGUCUGAAUUGAUGUAGGAACUCUGAAAGACAGCAUGCGCUCAUAAAUGCUGGCUGCAAAAUGCAAUUUACCUGCGAAAUUAUACUUGCAGGUCAUUGCAAGAUUUCUUACACAUGCAUCCAUCUAAAUUAAAUACAGAUAAUGUCACUUUUACCUGCUCCUAGCAUUGCCUUAAUACAGGUAUUGUAAGCCACGGUAUCAAGGUCCAAGUUAUCUUGAAAAGAGUUAUGGAUAAUAAUCUCAGCCUGUUCAUGUUUUCCUGCGGAUAGAUUAAUCUCAUUAUUAAUCAACAAAGCAUUGAUAUAACAACCUGCAAUGGAAAAUUCACACGCUGCCCUCCAAACUUCUCUAUAGUAGAGAAUAGCAUGUGUAGCUAUGACAUGAUUGUGAUAAUUUCAAUCGCAAAUGACUGGAUACACUAUCACUACCUUAUGCACAUCAUGAACAUUAUUUUGUGAACAAGAAGUUGGUCAAAGUUCAGACAAGAAAAUUUUCCAAAGAGUACUGGUUUUUGGCAGAAAACAAGCUAUGUACCAGGUUAUCUCUAUCAGUAAACUAAUAUCUUUAUUUAAUUUUAUACAUAGGACAGUAAAACUUAUGAUUUUUAACCUAAAAAUUCAUUACAUGCAAUGGAAAAAGGACUAAAGUUUAGCUGCUCUGCUGAAGAUAUUUACAGCCAUACCAUAAUUAGUCAACGUAUUCACAAGUAUGCUGAUAGCAACAGCGUCCAGAGCACACCCCUGUGCAGUUGCUUCUUUAUAAAGUAGGUAAACAUCCUCAGCUUUACCACAUUUGGCAUAUGCAUCAAUCAUUGAUCUCAAUACUAAUUUCCCAGGUUUACAUGAAACUGUAGCAGCUUUGAAGACAUCUUGAGCCUCUUUUAGCUUCUGGUGCUUCCCAUAUGAGCCAAUCAAAGAAGCGGUUACUUCAUCUUCCAAUAUGUAACCAAGCUUCAUCACUAUAUCAUAAAUAAUUUCUGCAUUGGAUAUGUCACCUGUGUAAAAUAUCAAUGUCAGUCUUCAAGAUAUACCAACUUCUCAAUUUAUUGCUUCAACACCUAUCUUAUACAUACAUAAAAACAAAUAAAAAAAAACUAUACGCAACUAACUUCAUGGCAAAAUGACUUAUAAUCAAUAGCGAAACUUAAAAGUUAAUCUCAUACCAUCUCUAAUAAAUUUGCAAAUGAGUUGACUCACUACUGAUGAGCCACCAGCUGUAUGAAGCAAUAGCUUCAGGAUUUUUUCCCUCUUACUGAAAUUGUCAUCUGUGAGAUAUAGACUAAGCAUCAGCCCAAGAGCCAUCAAGUCAAGUUGGUUGGAUGCCACAAAUUUGUCACCAAAUUCCGCAUUUUCUGUACAUCCACCAUGCAAAAUCUUAGAAAAUGUUUGAAUGAAUUUGCUAUCUUUUAACGAUCCAUUUUUGCCCAUCUCUUCUACUAACUGUUCGGCAUCCGUCACCAUUCCUUCCUUACAGUAUAUUUUCAUAACUGACCUGUAAAGCUCCUCAUCAAAAUCAACUUGAUCUUUCCUUAUCUGGGCAAUAAAACCUUUUGCCUUUUCUGUUAAGUCAAGUUUUAUAUACAAAUUCAGCAUGUCAUUGCAAGAGCCAGCAUCAGGAAGUCCAGUCUUGGCCAGAGUUUGAAACGUGCCUUCAGCAGAGCCCAAAUCCUCUUUCAUAGCAUAACAUUGCAACAUGACAAUAUAAGCAAAUCUUGAUAACCACAUGUUUCUUGAUUUCAUUAAUUCAAUAACAUCCAAAGCUUUCUCAACAUUCCUCGAGGUAAGAUGGACUUGUGCCAUUGCCAAAUAUGUUUUUUCAUCACUGAGUAGGCCCAGCUGCUCAGUCUCCGCAAAUGUUUUCUGAGCAUCCUCAUACAGACCAAGUUUUCCAUAUAUCCGAAUAAGCAGACCAUAGAUUACUUCAUCAGCAGCAACUUUGAAUUUUUCCAUUUCAGAAAAGAGAGAAAGGGCUUUAGAAUAAUUUUCAUUUUUGUAAUACAAAGAUAGAAGCGAAGCACAAGUGUAGUUACUAGGAAUAAGCCCACGACUCCUCAUGUCCUUGUAUAAACUUAGUGCUUCAUCCGAUUUACCAUGUUUUAUACUCAAACUAAUAAGCUGGCUAUAAGUUACUUCCUCAGGAGCAAACCCAGUGCUUUUCAUCUCAUUAAAUGUCUUCAAAGCCUCCUCAAGGAGACUACCUUUAACAAAUGAACUGAUAACUAGUGUGUAAGUAAAAUCAGUAGGCGCAACCCCUUUAUCCAUCAUCUGCCUCCACAAAUCUAUUACCUUCCUAUGGUAUGAUUUCUUGUGCAAAGAGGAGAGCAUAAAGUUAAAUACUGCUGUAGAGGGUACAAUUCCUCUUUCUUUUACAGCAGAAUAAAACGUCAACAUAGCCUUAUGAUUUCCCCAUCUGGCAUAUGUACAAAGCAUGGUACCACAAGCAAUCUCAUCCGGUUCACAUCCUGCUUCAAGCAUCUCCAGGAAGGUCUGUUCAGCCAGCUUAAUCUUUCCAACUUGCCCAUAUAAUCGCAGAAGAAUCGUAUAAACAACAACGCAGGGGCGAUAGCUUAACUGUUCAAGAAAUUAGCUUCAGCUACUUAGAAAAAGUGAAAGCACUUAUCAAUACCAUAAUUUGCCCUAUCUUGACUUGCUAAUAAUUCAGCACAAAUAAGACUGAAUCAAUUCAUAACUGAAGGGAAGUUCUAAUGGUAGCUUCCUAAAUCAAUUCAAUUUCAUUUUUAGUAAACAGAAAUUAUAAAAAGGGCAAAAGCCCACCUGCAGUUUCAUCCAAGCAAAGAACUCAGUGGCCUGCCUCCAACCCUUUUGCUCUUUCAACACAACACACAUUUCUCUAAAACUCAACUUGCCCACAAAGCUCCCCAUCACAACUCUCACAUUCCGGCUGCCAUCCAUGGCUCUCACGGCCUUAAUCGCAGCCACAACAUGCUUCCCGUACAAAUGGCCGUUCCUAUCAUCCUCCAAGUACUUCACCAUCUGCUCCGGCGUCCGCUUUAUCCAUUUGGGGGUGGCUGCUGUCGGCCCCUGGUUUCUCCUCAGCACGCUCAAGUAUUGAGCCUUGGCUUUUAAAAUUCGACGAGCGUUGUCGUCGGAGAGAGGCCUUUUGCGGUUCUUUGAUCUGGGUUUGGGUUUAGUAAUGUCGUUUCCGUCGCUUAAGGACCAGGGGUCUGGGCGCACUCUUGAGGAUGACUUUAUGGGGAUUUUGGGUUUUUUUUUGGGCGGUUUUGGGUUCCAAUGCUGGAACUGGAAGUGGGUGGUGGUUACAAUGAAAGUGGAGCUGAGGGAGUCCAUUUGUUAGAGUUGAAGGAUACUAGAGGUUGUAGUUUUGAGGAACAUAGAGUUUUUGCGGGAAAAUUCUGAGACUUCAAAGAAAGUUUCAGAGGCAUCAAUUCGUAACAGUGUCAGACCUCAGUGAAGGGAGCAGAGCUGCAGAGGAGAGGUGAGAGAUAACCACCAUUACGUUUAUUUCCACAAAUUUGAUUUACACGCUUCUAGCGGGCCUUUCACAACGACACGCGGAGCCCACACUUUGGGCCUACUUUGUGCUGGGCUGGGUACGGCACAGCUUCCUCAUGACCCGCCAGCUCUGUGGGUCCAUGCCAGCCGAUGACCCAUCGGACAAAACCACGGGUUUGAUUUGAUACAUCCUGUGUGUAAUAUAACCACCUGAUGAUUGCCUGUAAGUGAAUUUUGCAUUAGCCAAAAAAAUAGUUGUAAUGAAAAAAUUUGGUUUGAUUUUUAAAAUUGAAAAAAUCGCUUGGUUUAUAUGAGAAAAGAUUAAAAAUAAAAAAAUUAGAAAAUACGAAGGAAAAUACAGUUUAAAACUGAAAAACUUGAAUCAAAUUAAAAAUCGAAGCAAUUCAAAUAAGAUUAUUAUUUCUAUAAAAACCGACAAUUUGGUUCGAACAGAAUUGUUGCCCCCUAAGUGAACUUAAUAUAAUUAUCAUUCGUUUGGAUGCUUUUUUAACAUGGAUAAGAUUCUAAAUAUGAUCUUAUCAUGAGUAAAAUUCACUCAACUGAUUGGUAGUUAAUAAAUUAAAAAAUAAAAGUAAUUAAAUACUAAUUAUACAUAAAUACUAAAUGACAUGUAGUAUAAGAUAUUUAAAAGUGUAGGAGAGUAAAAAUUAGAACCUAAUCUACACAGUAUAACAUCAUUUAGUUGUUUUAGGACUUACAUAUAUAAUAUCUUUGAUGUAUUUUAAAAGAUGAUGUAUUUUAAAAGCUCUCAAUUUGAAAAGGAUGGGCAUCUUUCGGUGACGACAAAUAUUAUUACAAAGGGAGAUUGUCAAUUUCCCCUCUACAGUAAUCAACAUAUACCAUUUUCCUCAUGCUGUUUUUAUAAUGGCCAAAAACCUCUAUGACAGCAUAAGUUUACAAUAUUAUCAUUAUUUUCAACUACUCUUUUAUUUUCAUUUAUUAUAAAUUAAAUAAACCACAUGAAUAGAAACUAAAUAAAAAAUUAAGCAUUAAAAACAAGAAAUCUAUGUUUUGAUAUGAGAAAAAAUUAAUAAUAAAAUUUUUUUCUUGUACUUAUUUAUUUUGUAAAAAUUUUCUUAUAAUAAAUAUAUAAGAAAGUUAUUAUAAUAUGAUAAAAAACUUAUUAUAAGAAAAUUUGAAUGACAAAUAAAAAUUUAUUAUAAGAUAAAUAAUAAAAUAUUUUGCCUAUACUUUUACAUUUAAUUUUAAAAUAUUACAAAAUGUUUAUUAUAAGAAAAUGUUCACACAAAAAAAUUAUUAUUAAUUUUUUUGCUCAUAUCAAAACAUAUAUUUCUUGUUUUUAAUACUUAAUUUUUUUAUUUAGUUUCUAUUCAUAUAAUUUAUUUAAUUUAAAAUAAAUGUAAAUAAAAGAGUAAUUAAAAAUAAGAGUAAUAUUGUAAACUUAUAUUGUCAAUGGAGUUUUUGGCUAUUAUAAAAAUAGUAGGGAGGUAAAUGGUAUAUGUUAAUUACUGUAGGGGGGAAAGUGGCAAUCCCCCUUAUUACAAACCAUCGCGGCUGUAAAUUUUAAAUGUUAGCCAUUAAAACUUGAGCACAAUGUUUAGACAAAAUAAUAAGAAAGAUAAGUUAACACUGAUGAUAGUUUACUCACUUAAUUAAAAAAAAAAAAAAGGAAGAAAAAGAAAGUAAAUUAAUUCUAAAUUUGCCCAAGUGGUUAGAGCUACUCCCUCACAAAUGUGAGGGAAGUGGUUCGAGCCCCCGAAGACCCAUUGUAGGGGUUUAAUUUAAAAUUUCAUUCCUUAGAGUCCCAGAGCUUGAAUGAAUGCAGUCUUUCUCCCAGGAGGGGAGUGGGCGUACCUCGAAUAUUUGAGAGGGUUAAAGAGUGGGCGUACGUCGAAUAUUUGAAAGGGUUAAAAAAUUUGAGCGGUGCCAUAUCAGAAUUGAUAUAAAUUAAUCUCAGUAAUUUAUAUAGUUGUAAAUAUCAUGAGUAAUAGUUCUCCUUAAAAAAAAAAUUAAUUCUAAAUUUAUCCUGUUAUUAUCCGCAUUCUAUCACACAAUAUGUCUCUUUUAACAUUUUUCUUAAAUCUCAUCCCCAUUACGGAUGAUACUUCACCAGAUUCACAAUCUCAAACCUUAACUAUAUAUACUAUCUCAUUCUUAUUGCGUCAUUUGAAAAAGUUGAGAAGAAGAAAAUUGUAGAUUAAAUAAGCCUCGAAAUUUGGUACACUUUUGGUGGCAGGAGCCCAGAAAAUAAACCGUCGCUAUAUCACACUAAUAUUGAAGGAAAUAUAUAUAAAACAUUAAAAACCUAAACAACUACCCCUUCCAAAAAAUGCAGGACGAAUGAACUUAUAAGUCGGUGAAGCAGCAAGAAUGCGUGCAGCCCAAUAAGCUAACAUUAAUUUCAAAAGUACAAAAGCCAGUCACAAUUGUCCACAAUGAAAGCAAUAAUAAUGGCAAACAAAAUGACAUUUUUGAUAAUUAUUGUCAUGGCACUCGUCUCGUCAGCCAUGCCCGUAGCCAUCCUCAGGAGCCAAGACCUUGUUGUGGCCGUGGAAGAGAUGCAAAACGCCAACUACUUCAGUUUUGCCAUGCUCAUUAACAUGUCUCCAAAUACCACAACAAAUCUUGGGAACGUCACAUUCUUGAUGCCCAAGGACAAAAUAUUGUCGACAGCGGACAUGCUUCAAGAAUCCACCAACGAUUUCUUGCUUCGACAUUCGAUCCCGUCAGCCUUGCUUUUCGAGAAUCUCGAGCGUAUUCCUUCCGGCUCAUUGAUUCCAAGUUCUUUGCCGGAUUACAUGCUCAGGAUUUCUAACGGUGGAAGGAAGAGGUUUUUUCUUAACAAUGUGAGAAUUACUAGUCCAAAUUUAUGCACUGCAGGCUCUUCAAUCCGAUGCCAUGGCAUAGACGGAGUGCUAAAUAAUAAUAGCAGCUCAUCAUCAUCUCAACGUUCUUGCUCAUCAAACAGCUCCUCCGGCCCUGUUGUCGUGGCCUUACCCCCGACAGCAUCACCGGCGCAAUCCACGGUUCCCUCUUUUGCGGAUCAGGCUCCGCUGAUUGCGCCGCAACCAUCAUAUUCAGGCACGCCAAAGCAGAAGUCAGCUGCUGGCUAUUCACAGAGGCUGUCUUGUGGGGGAAUAAUAUCCAACUUCUUUUUGGUCUUUGCUAUGGUUUUGAUAUUUUGAUUGGAAACAAUAUUUAUUCUGAAAUGUCUGUAGAAAUAGUCAAUUUAGUAUUCGAUCGUUACUUUAGUAUUCUGCAAGAUGCCCAUUUUAUUGUAGUCCUGGAGCUCCAAAAUCACGUCACGGUUCUCUAAUAUUUUUAGAAUAGUUCCAAAAUCACGUCACGGUUCCCAAAUAUUUUCAGAACACUGAUUCAGUGUUCAUCUGAUUUUUAUGUUGAGUGCUUAGAAGCACGUGAUUAGUAGCUAAAUAUUAGUAAAAAGAUUUAUCACCCGUAGGAUAUUAUUCUCUUUCAAAUAUGGUAAUAGUUGUAGUCAAUGGAUGACUGGAUGGUAGCUUUUCCAAACUUUCAAUUGGUUUUGCUUAUUUUCAACUGUCUAGGAUAGGUAUCUGUCACAUGGAAAAUGCUUAUUGUCACGAAGGCUGAGAGAAACGACAUCUGUUGCUUGCCGUUUUGCCUUUUUCUUCUCUCAAGCUUCUGACAAUUUUUGAAUGUUAAAAAAAUUUAUAAAAAAAAAAGUGAAAGUGACAAAAGCUGUGGGGAUCCCGUGAAGUUUGGGCUGUCUCUUGGCAGAGAGAGAAUUUUAUAUUGAUGAAAAUAUUAAAAAACAUAUAGAAAAUGACAAACUUACUCAUCCUUCAUGAAGCAGUUGAAAACAGCGUGCAUCACAGUCUUCUUUACUCAUCCUCACUUUCUCUCCUUUACUUACUCAUCCUCACCCACGAGUGCUACUAGUUACUCACUUUCUUGCGGCUACCACAACCAACAUCACACUUGACCCAAAUACGGAAGCACAUUUUGCUUAAUACUCGUGGAAGUAAUUCUACACAAAUUCCCCAAGAGGCCGAUCUAGAUUUGGAAGCAGAACCCAAAACUGAUAAUUACUUGAUUAUAAAGAGUGAUUUUUUAUUUUAAAUAUUAUUUUUUUCAUCAGUAAUAAUAGAAAUGUACCUGCAUUUUACUUAAUAUUUUUAGAAACAAUUUACUAGUUAAAUGAUAAUAAUAAAUAAUAAUGAAAAUUUUAUUUGAUUUAGAAAUUUUCAAAAUUUUAAUUUUUAGAAACUUAAUGGAUUAAUUUUUUGCUGGACCAAAAUUUUGUAACUAUUUAUAAUAAUUUAUUCUUAAUACAAAAAUUAAUUAUUUUAUAGAAAUGAAAAUUUUGGAAAAUGAGGCCAGAGUCGAAGAUGUGAGUGUGCAACUGGAAAAAUAUGAGCCAACACUUAGGAUAUUAUUUAAUAGUCAUGAGGAAAUGUGAGUGUUUUACAAAGCCUAUGAUAAACAAGAAGAAUUUUUUGUGAAGAAGCUAACUAGUAAGAAAGGGAGUGAUGGGAAUGUAAAAUACCCAACAUUAGCAUAUAACCGUAACAGCAAGUCAGAAAGUAAAUCUACUAAUAUGUUGAAACCUAUUGUGAAAACUAUGAUACUAAAAUUGGGGAUUGUGUAAAUGAAAAUGGAAAAUGGGUUUUUCAAAGUUUAAAAUUUCAACACAAUCAUGGAUUGAGUCCGGACAAAACUAAGUAUUUUCCUUGUAACCGUAGCAUUAGUGCAAGUGCAGAAAAGCACAUUGAAAUGAAUGAUUGUGUGGGAAUUAACAUUACCCAGAAUUUUAAUUUUAUUGUUGUUGAAGCUAGUGGAUAUGCAAAUGUCUCAUUUCUAGAAAAAGAUUAUAGAAAUCUUAUUGACAAAGUUAGGCGAUUGUAGCUCGGAGAAGGAGAUGCUAUGGAAAUUCUAAAGUACUUCCAGAAAAAGGAAGCAGAAUGCAAGGGAUUUUUUUAGCAUUGAUUUGAAUGAGUAUGAUUGAUUAAAGAAUGUAUUUUGGACAGAUCCGAGAAGUAGGGUAGCUUACAAAUAUUUUAAAGAUGUUAUCACAUUUGAUACCAUAUAUCUUACUAAUAAGUAUGACAUGCCAUUUGCUUAUUUUGUUGGAGUUAAUCAUUAUGGCCAGUCUAUUUUGUUAUGAUAUAGAUUGAUUUGACACAAGCAUAUGAAGACAUUUACGUGGUUAUUUGAGGUGUUUGGUUCUCCUCGCAUUGAUAUCAUUACAAACCAAGACAAAGCAAUGUAAAAGGCAAUUGAGAAUGUUUUUCUUAUGACUAGGCAUCAAUGGUGUUUGUGGCAUAUAAUGAAGAAGAUUCUUGAGAAGUUAGGGGCUUUUAAAGAAUGUGAAUGUAUUGUUUCUUUAUUGCUUUAUGCUAUUUAUGAUUCAUUGAACCUUGUUGUGUUUGAAGAAGCUUGGCAUGACAUGAUUACGAUAUAUGAUUUAUGGGAUAAUGAUUGGUUAAAUGAUUUUUAUGAGGAGCGGCAUCGUUGGGUUCCAUACUAUUUGAAAAUUAUUUUUUGACAGGAAUGUCAACAACUUAGGGAAGUGAAAGUAUAAAUGCAUUUUUUUGAUGGGUUUGUUAACUCAAAAAUAAAUUUGAAGCAAUUUGUGAAGUAAUAUGAAAAUGCAUUGAGAAGGAAAUCUAAAUUAGAAUGACAAGAAUAUGCCAAGUGUUUCAGUAAAAGGACUUCAUGUGUAACAAGAUAUGAGAUGGAGAAGUAAGUUGAAUAAGUGUAUACUAUUUUUAAGUUUAAAGAAUUCUAACAAGAAUUAAUUAUACUGAUGUAUUGUGAAAUAGUUAAUUCUAGAGGAGUGUUAGGGAGCAACUUGGUGGAGAAGUGAUGGGGAGCAAAGAUAAUCUGAAGUGAGGGAGAGAGAGUUAGCGACGAUAUGGAGGCAUAGAGAGAGAGAGAGAGAGAGAGAGAGAGAGAGAGAGAGAGAGAGAGAGAGAGAGUGAUGCCACUAUUUCUUAUAUAUUUUACGUUUUAACAUUUUUUUUGUCACUUUCCACUUUUUUAUUUAUAUUGUAACAUUAAAAAUUAUUUGGCACGUUGAGAGAAGGAGAGAAGCAAAAACGGCGGGCAUCGCUACCAUUUUUCUUAACGUUCUCCCGGUGUUAUCACUAUUUAGCACGAGUCUCGUCACAUUUUAAAACAGACUGAAGUCAUAACAGGAGGUGUGUUGAGUUUUAAGAGUCUCAUCAUAUGGCAUGCAUUUGGGCUCUAAUUAAUUUGGUCGCUCAUAUGUAAUUAGCACAUCAAAUUCAUUAACCAAAUUAGAGUAAGGCAGUUAAAGAUUAUUUGCCGAACUUCAAAUUCUGAGAGUCUAGAACUAUUGAUGUAUAAUCUCCCUCUAUUUUCCAUUCAAAAUCUCAUUAUACCUAAACAGAUAAUCAACUAACUAAUACGUUCGACCUGUUCAUCAGAAAGGUAGUGGAGGUGCAUAGCUACCUCCUCUCAUUAUCAGACACGCGGCACUUGGCCAGUUAUUGGCCAGCCAUUGUAAAAAUUAACCCGUAUAAGUAGGAUCUCUCCAUCAACAUCCGCUCUACACGAUAAAUAUAGUCCUUUAGUUUCCUCGCUUUGCAUAUUAAUUCACAUUCCUGAUCUAUUAUUAUUAUUAUAGAUAUCUUCAUUAACCAUAAUAAUAAUAAUCAAGAAAAAUUUAAAUCAUGGGUGACGAACCCGAAACCGAACCUCCAAUACCUCCGGUUCAAACAGCAGCAGAAGGCAACCGUCCAGUCCCGAAACUGAACGAAAGAAUCCUGUCAACGCUCUCAAGAAGAUCAGUGGCCGCACAUCCGUGGCACGAUCUCGAAAUAGGCCCCGGAGCCCCGCAAGUGGUCAACAUCGUCGUGGAGAUAACGAAAGGCAGCAAAGUGAAAUACGAACUGGACAAGAAAACAGGACUCAUCAAAGUCGACAGAGUCCUUUACUCAUCGGUCGUGUACCCACACAACUACGGCUUCAUCCCCCGGACACUCUGCGAAGACAACGAUCCCCUCGACGUGAUGAUCCUGAUGCAAGAGCCGGUCAUUCCGGGGAGUUAUCUGCGAGCCCGGGCCAUCGGAUUGAUGCCCAUGAUCGAUCAAGGGGAGAAGGACGACAAGAUCAUAGCCGUCUGUGCUGACGACCCUGAGUAUAAGCAUUACACAGACAUCAAACAGUUGCCGCCUCACCGGCUGAUGGAGAUACGGCGUUUCUUUGAGGAUUAUAAGAAGAAUGAGAACAAAGAGGUUGCUGUUAACGAGUUCCUGCCUCCUCAGACUGCUUUUGAUGCCAUUCAGUACUCCAUGGACCUUUAUGCCGAGUACAUUCUGCAAUCCCUCAGGCGAUAGAGAUUUUUUCUUUUUUUCCCCUAUUUUGCAUAUUAUUAAUCAAUUAAUUCAUCAACAACCACACGCUGUUUAUUUAUUUUCAAUAUUUCUUCUAAUUGUCUCUCGAUGGAAAAGUCCCUGUCCAUCAGUUGGAAUAAUAAGUCAUUUGAUUAAUUAAAAUAUGGUAUUUGAUUAUUAUUAUGAGCUAUAUAUAUAUGGCAUUUUGAACAGCAGAUAUGUAUUCAAAACCUUGAUUGUUAUUCAUCAACUAUAUUUUUCUAAAGUUUAAAUCAUGAGAUUAAUUAAAAAGUGUAGUGGGAUGGAUCAAAAUUUUCGUUUACAUGUCAUCGCCAUAUUGAUAUGUUAUAUAUAUAUACACAUAUAUAUAUAGGUAAUAAAAAAAGAUCUCCAAAUUAAUGAUGGUUAGCCAUAACUACUUUUAUUAUGAUGUAAGAAGAUUUUUAAACUCUCGCGUCAAGGAUUAAUGUGCAUAUUGUUAUUGUAAAAGAUUAGUUAGUGCUGUAGGCAUUAUAUGCAUAUGUAAUUACUUAUGAAAUAAAAUUCUAUAUACAUUUUCAUUCAGAAAAUAUUAUUGUUCAGCUAAUUGAAAAAAUAGGCCUACUUUUUGUAUCAAAAAAAAAAAAAAAUAGGCCUACUUUUGAUAUUGUUCAUUUUGAUUUUCAGAUCUCAAAAAGUUUUGAAUUGAACAGCACAGUGGAUUGGCUUGCAGCAGCUUAUGAGACGAUAGGUUUACAACUUCAGCUCUAUUUAUGAGGCAUUAAAUAAUUUAUGAGGCGCACCAUGUGGGUAAUUAUUGUUAAUCAAAAUGAAUAAGAUUGUUCGUGGUGUUUUUUUCUUUUUUGUGUACAUAUAUACACAGUGGAGAGAGAAAGAAAAAAGCGCAGAUUAUUUUCAUAUAGACCACCAGCAUUCAUUCACAAGCGUGAAUCAUUAUUCAUAUAGACAUCAGGCAUUCUUUCACAUAACAAGAAAGAGAGAAACCUUAUUAAUGGAUAUGACGUAACAUGUAUCUACUCAUGAUACUUAGCCUGAAGAAAAAGAAAAUUCUUCUUGUGCAUGGCAAUUCCGGGCAGACAAUCAAAGUCCAAAUCUUGGCUCUUCAUUCCAGGCGGUGUUUCCCAAACAAAUUCGUAAAGAAGAUUAGCAAUUGCAAGAUCCGCAUUUGCAGUUCCCAAAUGCAUUCCAGGAUACAAAUUCUUCUGCCAGCACGAAAUGGUAUGAACUCUAAGUUUUGCUCUUUAUAGUCAAUAGAACAAUCAAUAAAUCUCUCGGGAUUAAAUUCCUCAGGAUUCUCCCAAGCUUCAGGAUCUCUUCUUAUCGCCCAUGCCUUUACGUAAACAAGUGUUUUAGCUCGAAUUUCAUACCCGUCUAUUAAGCACUUUUCCAUUAUUUCUUUGGGUACUAGUAAGGGAAUUGGCGAUUGCAAUCUCAAAGUCCCCUUUAGUACAGCUUUAAGAUAUUUUACUUCUUGAAGAUCAACUUCAUCUACAAAGCCUUUGCAGCCAAUCAAAGAUCUAAUUUCUUCUUGAACUUUUUUCAUUGCUCUAGGAUGCUUCAUGAGGUAGGUCAUGGCCCAAACCACAGUCGAGCCGUUUGCAAAGCAAAUAGCACAUAUAUGGGUGUGUCUGUGGGAUAUGUGUGUGCGUGUGUAUUAUUUAAAGCAACAAAAUUAUAUUAAAUCAAUUAUAUACAAAACUACUUAUAUAUGUGAUCCAAAGUUAGGUCAACUUUGAACCCAUGAUCUUUUUGUACUUGAAGUAAAACAUCAACUAUAUCCUCUUGCUGCAGCUCUGCUUUUGUUAUGUUUGGAUCCUUAUGCUCGUCAUUGAGUUCUUGAUAGAAUGUAUCAGCUUUUUGAAAGUAAAUUUCGAGUCGACGCAUCAUUCCUCUGAGUUUAUCAAUCCAGCCCAUAAAAGGAAAAUAAUCUGUAACAAAAAAGCCUACAGGCGAGGCUUGAAUUUCAGUAAAAAAUGUAAGGAAUCUACUUCUUCCACUUAUUGCUUCAUAUUCGUUACCAUGCCUCUUGCCAAAACCAAUUCUACAAAUAAUGUUGCUUGCAAGAGACAUCAUUAUCCCACUUAAGUUGACUUGUUUAGAAGCAGCUGAUUUUGAUAUGUAUUCAAUCAUUCUCGAAACUUCAUCUUCUCUAAUGGGUCGAAAACUUUGUGCUCUACUAGGGUUAAAGAGGUGACUGACACAUAAUUUUCUUAUCUCUAUCCAGUACUCACCAUAGGGUGAAAAUACCAAGUCCAAGCCAUUAGAAGAUAGCUUUUAUGAUGCUAGACUUGCUAGCCGACUACAGAAUUGAAUAUCAUGGGUUUUCAAACUCUCUUUAGCCAUUUCUGCUGAGGAAACAACUAUAAUUGGCACAACACCAAGAUGCAAUGAAAUAAAAGGGCCAUAUAUUUUAGAUAGUUCCCAUAAUAACACUUGAGGCUUUGAGAAAUCAAACUGGUGUACGUUACCGAUAAAGGGUAGGCCCUGAGGGCGAGGGGGUAUUUUAAUCUCUUUUUUUUUUUUAUGAUAAGUGUUUACGGAAAACAAGAAGAGGAAGAUUGGGAGACACAGAAUGAUGAUGAUCACAAGUAAAGCCAUUAUCGUUUAUGCUCCCUACUGAAGUGACUAAAGCUCUAUAAAUAACGAAACAAAAUGCAAGUUAAUAAAUAUUAUCAGAGGGCUCUCUUUUUGUUUUGUAUUCUUGUUAUUGAGUCUAUCUCAUUUGGGGCCCAAAAACAUAAGGUCCAAAAAUAUUUGUUUGAUGUAUGAUUAACAUUAAGUUUUAGACUUGCAUGAAAAUUGUCAUAAAAUUUGGCUUUAAAAAGCAAGCAGCUUACCUAAUUUGUGAUAUCGCAAAAAGAUGAGUGAAGAAAAGACGAGAGAGAGAACAGUGGCGUGAGAUCAGAUUUGGGAGCUAGGAUUUCAAUAUUUGAUUAGAUGAUCGGAAGGCGAAAUUAAUUCUGUUUUUUUCUAAAUUUUGAGGGUAAAUUUAUGGUAUCGCCCUCUACAAUCCUAUUGUUCUUUAUUUUUAUUUUAUCCUCUCAUUGGCUAUUAUUUGAAAUACUCAAUUGUUAAAGAGAUAAAUAUUAGGUUAUUACUGUAAGCAAGAAUAUUGAGAAUCUUGAUGUUGUUAGUCUCUAGUGUCAUCUAGAGAAGAAUUUGUACUGUAAUCCCAUUAAAAUAGUGAAAGAUUUUAUCAGACUACAAUCCAUCGGUUUUUCCCGCUUUAGGAUUUUCACGUAAAAAAUAUGUCUCUUGUGGUUGGUUUAUUUUUCUACCUAUUUAUUUAUGGUACACAACCUAUUUUAAUCACACAGAAAGGAAAAAAGUUUUGUUUCCGCUUAAUUUUUAACUGUUUGUGUGAGUUCCUUUCCCAAUAUAGUGGUAUCAGAGUGUCAGGUUGUGUUUUUUUAUUACUUAUAUGGUUGAGAUGGAGGAGUCCUCUGCAUGCAUGAUUAAAUUAAAGUCAUAGAAUUAUGGUAUUUGGAAAUCUAGGAUGAAAGAUUUUAUGUACAUGAAAAACUUACAUGAACCCAUUGAAGGCGAAUAAGCUAGACCCGCCGAUUUAGAUAAGAAAUUGGAGCAAUUAAAUAAGAAGGUUGUGGGUACUAUUAGGUCAUCAAUUAAUCAAAGUGUGUACCACCACGUUGCGAAGGAAUCUAGGGCUGAUGUUCUUUGGAGAAAAUUAGAGACGAUUUAUGAGUAGCCGACAACACAGAAUAAAGCUAAUCUGAUGAAAAAGUUUGUUAACUUGAAAUACAAGGAGGGGCACAGUAUAACUGACCGCACUAGUGAGUUUCAGGGCUUAGUUGAUCAAUUGACUACUAUGAAAAUUAUUUUAGAUGAUGAGUUACAAGCAUUGUUGUUGCUUAGUUCUUUAUUUGACAGUUAGGAGAUAUUAGUGUCAGUGAAUAAUUCAGCUCUGAAUAGAAAAUUAACCUUAGAUAUGGUUAUAGAUAGGCUGCGAAAUGAAGAGAAACAUGAAAUGCUUUCAUUGUCAGAAAAUGGGUCACGUUAAAAAGGGAGUGUAUAUUGUGGAAAAGAGAACAGAUGAAAGAAAAAGAUGAUAGCUUAGAAAAAUGACAAAGAGAACAUUAAAGUCAUAGUUGAUGGUGAUAUGGGUAUUGUUUAUGAUGAGAGCUCUGUAAAUCUCAUUUGUCAUACCAGUGAUAGAAGUCAAGAUCAAGAAAAAAUAUGUGAAUGUGACUGUAAAAGAUUUUGAAAUUGAGACGUGCAUAAAAAACUUGGUUACAAUGGUGAGAAAUGAUUAGAAACUCUUGCUAGAAAAUGAUUUCUACCCAACUUCGCAGGUAUGUUCCUUAAGACUUGUGUUCAUUGCUUAGUUGGAAAGACACACAAAGUAGCUUUUAAAAGUUUUUCUCUAUCUAGAAAGUCGCAAAUAUUUGAUUUGUUUCACAUUGAUAUUUGCAUGAUGCAAAGUAGAUCAAUAAGAGGUGCACUUUAUUUUAUGACUUUUAUUGAUGACUGUUCUAGAAAAAUGUGGGUUUUUUCUUUGAAAUCUAAAAACCAUGUGCUUGAUAUGUUUAAGUUCUUCCAUGCUUAUGUUGAGAGAGUGACAUGAAGAAAAUUAAAAUGUGUCAGGGUAGAUAAUGAAUGUGAAUAUAGAGGACUAUUUGAAUAGUAUUGGAUAUCCCAUGGAAUCAGGCUUGAGAAGACUGUACCAAAAACCCUGUAGCAGAAUGGUGUUGCAGAAAGGAUGAACAAAACAAUUGAAGAGAGGGUCUGGUGUAUGCUUUUCGAUGCUAAGCUUCCUAAAUCUUUCUGAGCAGAGGCUAUGCGUACUGCAAUUGACUUGAUUAACCUUUCUCCUUCAGCUCCAUUAGAUGGCGAUGAACCAAAGAGAGUUUGGACCGAGAAAGACGUUUCUUAUAAACACAUGAGAAUGUUUGGUUGCAAAGCAUAUACUUACAUACCUAAAUAUAAAAUAUCGAAACUUGAUGAUAAAGCCAAGGAAUGCAUUUUCUUAGGUUAUGGGUAUGAAGAAUUUGGGCAUGAAGAAUUUGGGCAUAAAUUAUAGGAUCCAGUGGCAAGGAAAUUGAUCAGAAGUAGAGAUGUUGUGUUCCUUGAAAAUCAAAUAGUUAGUGAUGCAGAGAAGAGUGAUGAGUCUCAGCCAUCUCCAGAGAUUCCUAUUAUCCCAACUUCAGUUUCUCCACCUGCAAUUCAUAAUGAUUAUGGGAAAGCUGGAGAGGAUAAUAAUGAUGGUCUGGAAAAACCAGUUGAGUAAGCACCUCCAAAACCACUUGUACUACCAGUUGAACCAUAAUUAAGGAGAUUAACCAGAAAACAAUAACCUUCCACUAGGUAUCCUUCACAUGAGUAUGUGAUACUUACAGAUGGAGGGGAGCCAGAAUGUUUUAAAGAAGCCAUGUCUUACCAGCAUAAAAAUGAGUUGGUUAAAGCCAUACAAGAGAAUAUAAAAUCCUUGAAUGAAAACCAUACUUAUGACUUAGUAAAGCUUCCUAAGGGAAAUAGGGCACUGAAAAAUAAAUGGGUUUACAAAUUAAAGACUUAAAAUAACUCACAACAGCGAUACAAGACUAGAUUGGUUGUGAAAGGUUUCGGUCAGAAGAAAGAUAUUGAUUUUGAAGAAAUAUUUUUUCCCAUGGUGAAGAUGUCUUCUAUCCAAGAUGUUUUGGGAUUAGCAACUAGCUUGAAUUUGGAGAUUAAACAGCUUGAUAUAAAGAUAGCUUUCAUACACAGUGACUUAAAAGAUGAAAUAUACAUGGAGCAACCUGAAGGGUUCAGUAUUAGAGGCAAAAAAAAAACUUGUGUGCAAGUUGAAGAAAAGUUUGUAUGGGCUGAAACAAGCACCAAUAUAGUGGUACAAGAAGUUUUAUUCUUUUAUGGAGAAUCAUGACUUCUACAAGACUAUAUGUGAUCAUUGCGUUUUUGUGAAGAAGUUUGGUGAUAAUGAUUUUAUCAUUCUUCUGCUUUAUGUGGAUGACAUGUUGAUUGUUAGUCAGAAUGCUAAUAAGAUUGACAAUUUAAAGAAAGAGCUUAGCAAAUCUUUUGCAAUGAAGGACUUAGGACCGGUGAAAUAAAUUCUUGGCAUGAAAAUUUUCCGUGAUAGAAAAUUUAGGAAUUUAUAGUUAUCUCAAGUAAGGUGGGCAAAAAAGCUCAGCUCUCACACAUGAGAGCCUGGACAAGGGGUCAAGAAAAAAUGCCUAGGCCAGACCUAGGCCCACUAUUUUAAAAAAAAUUAUAAAUUAGAAUAAUAUAAUUAAAAUUGAAAAGUAACUUUUAAAAAAAAACUUAAAUUCUUAAUUUGUAAAUCAAUAAUGAUUCAAAAAAGCUAAAAUUAUGAUACUAAAUUCUCUCUUUUAUGUUAAUUAAUUAAGAGAGUAUUUAAAUUAGAGAAUCCAGUAUUAAAGAAAAUUAAAUUUAUAAGCUUUUAUUUGCUUUAUUUAUUAUUUUAUUUUGAAAUAUUCAUUUUAUUUAAUUUAUCUAUGAUUAUAAUAACUUGUUGAUCAUUAAUUUAUAUCAAAUUUACAAUAAUUUAAAAAAAAUUAAAAAUAUAUAAAGCUCGAGCCCGGCCCAAGCCCUCAUGCUCAAGCCUAGGCCCAAGCCCGCUUUUUGCCAUCCGUAUUCUCAAGAAGCAUAUGUUGAAAGAAUUCUUGAAAGAUUUAACAUAAGUAAGACAAAAUCUGUUUGUUCUCCACUUGCGGGCCAUUUCAAGGUUAGUUCCGAGCAUUAUCCUACAAGUGAGAAAGAGAAGCAAGAGAUGAGAUGAGUUCCUUAUGCUUGAGUUGUUGGUAGUUUGAUGUACACUAUGGUUUGGACAAGACCAGAUAUUGCUCAUCCAGUAAGUGUAGUCAGUCGGUUUCUCUCCAAUCCAAGCAAAGAACACUAGAUAGUAGUGAAAUGGAUUAUCAAAUAUCUCAGAGGCAAUUCCAAGGCAUGUUUAUGUUUUGAUGGUGACAAACAUGUAUUAUAAGUGUACACGGAUGCAGAUAUGGCAAGAGAUUUUGAUUUUAGAAAAUUCCUAUCAGGAUAUUUGCUCACCUUUGCAGGAGGAGUAGUCUCAUGGCAGUCUAAACUUCAGCAAUGUGUUGCUCUGUCUACCACAUAAGCAAGUAUAUUGCAAUCACUGAAAGAAACCUUGUGGAUGAAGAAUUUCCUACAAGAGUUUAGUGUAAAACAAGACAGCUUUGUUGUAUAUUACGACAGUCAGAAUGUCAUUCACUUGGCAAAGAAUUCGACAUACUAUUCGAAAUCCAAGUAUAUUGAUGUGAGAUAUCAUUGAAUACGAAACGUAUUUGAGAAGAAACAGUUGCAACUUGAGAAGAUACACACAACAGAGAAUGGGUUAAAUAUGAUGACAAAGCCAUUGCCCCAUGAGAAGCUGAAAAGCUAUAUGCAGAAAGCAGGCUCGGCGGUGCCCCUCAAAUGAUCUAGGGGGGGAAAUUGGUUGAGUCCAUCUCAUUUGGAGGCCUAAAAGCCCAAAGUCCAAAAAGGCUUACUUGAUGUACAAUUAACAUUAAGAUUUGGACUUGGAUGAAAAUUGCCAUGAAAUUUGGCUUUAAAAGGCAAGCGGCUGACCUAAUUUGUGAUAUCACAAAAAGACAAGUGAAUAAAAGACAAAAGAGAGAAAAAUGGCGUGAGAUUAGAUUUGGGGGCUAGGAUUUCAAUUUUUAAUUGGACGAUUAGAAUGUAAAAUUAACUCUGUUUUUUUUUAAAUUUUGAGGAUAAAUUUCUGGCAUCGCCUUCUACAAUCCUACUGGUCUUGAUUUUUAUUUUAUCCUCUCGUUGGAUAUUAUUUGAGAUACCCACUCGUUAGAGAGAUCUAUAUUAGGCUAUUAUUGUAAGGCAAUAACAUUGAGAUUCUUGAUGUUGUUAGCCUCUAGUGCCAUCUACAAAACAAUUUAUGUUGUAAUCCCAUUAAAAUAGUGAAAGAUUUUAUCGGACUACGAUCUCGUGGUUUUCCUGCUUUGGGAUUUCCACGUAAAAAAUAUGUGUCUCUUGUAGUUGAUUUUUCUUUGGAUUUUGUUAGUUUAUUUUUCUGUCUAUUUAUUUGUGAUUCACCUCCUAUUUUAAUCACACAAAGAGAGAAAGAGUUUUGUUUCCGCUUAAUUUUCAACUACUUGUGUGAGUCCCUCUCCCAACACUUGUGAGUUUUGCUAAACAAAACAAAUUUGACAACUUGGAUAAAAAUAAAAAAAAAAACUCAACAGUGAUCAAAAUUUCAAUAAUAAAAUUUCUUUUUCAGCAUAUUAUAUAUACAAAUUCUUGUGAGUUUUACAAAAAAAAAAAAAGAUUUGAUAACUGUUGAUGCCAAAAAACAACCUCAACAGCUGAGUUUGUUUUGGUGUGGAAAACAUAAUAAAAUAAACCUAUAUUGCAAGUUGAACACGAAUUUCUCAACCUACCAUUCAUAUAAUAUGGUUAGGGUUCACCGAUGGGGUUCCAACAAGAAUCCUCUAAUACUAAUGUCAUAUCUUUAGUAUAAAGGGAUCUUUCAUUGAUAAAGAAAUCACACUCAAAAUGUAAUGCAUAAUACUAUCUAAUUAUCAUAGGAAAGUUUAAGCAUAAGUUUACUUUCUUUGUCUUGUUUUUUCACCUUAUAUUACCCUCUUCUCUUGAUGUCCAUUCUCUGUUUAAAUAUCCCUCAAGAGGCAGGCAUCUUUAUUCCCUUAAAACUCACAUAUCUUUCUAACAUGGGUAGUUGGUUCACAUGAAGUAACCAAACCUAGCAUAAGUCCCUUGUUGAUCGAGAAAGUGUGAUAGGACUUGGAAGCUUAAAAAUGAUAAAAAGAAGAGAAGAAUAACCAACCUAGCACUCAUCCUAGUUUUCAAUAUUGAGAAAAUAUUAUUGGUAUUGGAAACUUAAAAAAAGAAAAAAAAUCAAAUAUUUACAUGUCAAACUCAAUUUGUAAAGUCAAAUAUGUAGAUGUCGGUCUCAAUCGUAUUGUUACCAAAAUUAUUCGAACUCUAAUUUAUUCGAAGAAUCGAUUAAUGACAAUUUAGUCUAAAACCUAAAAUAAAAUAAAACAAGUAAAAAUUAAACAAAGGUGCAAGCAUUAAUAGAAAUCACCAAGAGGUUAAAAUAUAAGGACAUCAAACUUCAACAUAACCAGUUCAAUUUAAUUGUUCAUCUAUGCCAUUAAAAAUUAUUACCCACAUUAACAGAGAAUUUUCCUAACCUAUUCAAUAUCAUCUCUCAAGUAAUAUAAAAAAAAAUACCCUCACAUAUUAACCCACUAUAUCUCUAUAUGGAUUAAGUAUGCUAAGGUUCUUUAAGUUCUAUGGAAAUUCUAAUAAAACUGCACAAAUCAGGUUAAUACAUAUUUGUCUCCCACAUAAUCCAUGGCAUCCAUUACACAGAGUAAAAACACAUAAAUCACAACUGUUAUAUCUCAAUGCCAGUUUGGUAAUGAUAUAGCUUUUAAAAUAAUUAUUAUUACUUGUGCUAUAAAAAUAAUCAAUUGUGAAGGGAAUCAGUGAAACAUUUAGUAAAAUUUAUUUAUAAAAGUGCUUUAAGUUUUAAAAGCAGUUAUAUGUAUUUUAUAAACCUUAUUGUUAAACUAUUGCAAAAAUAUGAAAUUACAAAUGACUGAAAUGGACACAAUGUUAAAUAAUUAUUUAUACAUUUAUAAACAUGUAUAUAUAAUUUUUUUAUUGUGUAUGUGUAAUAAUUAAUAAAUAUAAUAAAUUUUUUUUAUUUUAUCUCCAUAUAAUUGAUAAUGAUAUUAAUAUUUUUAAAUUAAAUGAUUUUAUUUCUUAAUUGAAUGAGUAUAGUUUUAGAUUUUUAUAACAUAUGUGAGGAUAUAGACAUAAUUGUAUUACAUACAAAACUAAUUCUUAAAUUCAUAUUUUGAAAAGUUAUCAUUUCUCUAUUUUUUAAAAAUUUACUAUAAGAUAGAAUGAUUUUUUCAUAAAUAUUUAAAAAAAAUUACUAAACUCUAAUAUUAACUUUUAACUUUUUAAAAUUACUUUGAGUUUUUUAAAAGUAAUAUCAAACGGGCAUUUAAUAAUGAAAAUGUAUUUAAUUUGAUUUUGCUUGUUUUAAAUCUUCACGUGUAGGCUUGAUUAAGCUUUUCUAAUUUGCUUUGACGCAGCGAUUUAAUUGGAAAUCAACUUCUUAAUUCGGCUUAAAGUUAUGAAUUAUAUUAAUUGGUACUUUAGUCAUUCCCAGUUAAAAUGGAUAUUUUCGUAAUUUUAUGAUCUAAGCAUAUAAUGGUACAUUCUAUGGUCAAAACUGCGGCCAACGGUGAAUUUAAUGAAAAUUGUAAUAGUUAUGUUUUCGUUGAUGACUUUUCGAGGGGUUAAAUGUAACAAAUGGCGGUACACAAUUGAGCGUCCAUUAAAAUUAACCCCCCAAAAAAUGAUGAAGCAAAAACAAAAACCAUAAAAUUCAGUGUGCUAUGACAUUAAAUCGGUAAAUUUUAAAAAGCUAAUAAUGUCAAUGAGGACCAUAAUAAAUAAACCAUAAACUAUAGUAGACAAUAACAAAAAAUUAAAAAUAAAAAUAAAUUGAAUCUAUAUUCUUAAUUAAUUUAUGUUAUUUUUCAAAUUAUAAAUUAAACUAUCAAAUUUGAAUUGGAUUUGUUCUAGCACUUCGACAUAGUUGUACUUGAAAUAAAUUACCACAUGUUCUAGUUGAGUAAUUGGAUAUAUGUUUUAAAAAUUAAUAAUAGAUGAUUAUAUAUUUGCAAGCCGAAAUAAACCUUAUUACAAGAAAAAAAAAUUAAUUACACUCAUGAUCCAAUAACACUAAAUAAAGGAAAAAAUUAAAAAUUUUCCAUCAAGAAAAAGUGAAUAAACUCCUCUGUGUACAAAUCCUUUAAAAUUUUCUGAAUACUAAUUAAUUAUAUCAUUACUCAAUCCUUUAGAAAUAUGGGAGUAUUUAUAAUUAAUAGAUCUCGAAUUGAAAUCAAGUACUUGUGACCUCUAAUUAAUUAAAUCUUGAAAAAUGUAUAUAGACAAAUUCGUCUUUUCUUAGUUAAUUCAACAACCAUUAAUUUUUUUUUAUUUUUUUCAUUAGUUGUGUCUCUCGAUGGAAGAUCUUGUCCAUAUGUUGGAAUUAUAAUAAAUCAUCUUAUUAUUUCUAUUGUUUAUUACUAUCACGAUGUAUUGAGAUCCAAUAUUUGAAUCCCAACUUGAGUUCUAAUGUCAUGUAUUACUUAUUUAUUGGAUAAUAAAUGUAAAAUUGCUUAUUACUCUAUUUUAUUAUUAAAAAAAUGAAUGAUAUAUUAAUUGGAACUUAAGUUAGAAUUCAAAUGUUAGGAUCCUUUAAAUUACUCAUACUAUGAGCUAUGUGGUUUUAAAACCUCAAGUAUGAAUUCAAAAUUUUGAUUGUUAUGCAUUAACUAUAUGCUUCUAAAGUUUAAAAGUGGUGAUGAAAUUAAAAAGUCUAGUGGGAUGGAUCAAAUUUUUUGUCUAUAUUUAUAUCAUCGAUAUAUUGAUAUGUUCAUUAUAUUUUUGUAACCGAAAAAAAAAAGAUCUCUCAACUAAUGAUGUUUAGUCAUAAAUAUUUUUAUGAAUAGGCAAGAAGAUUUUUCGUCAAGAAUGUGUAUACUAUAUAAGAUUAAUGAUAAUACAGGGACUAUGUGCAUAAGUUUGUUUUAUAAAUCUAUAUGCAUUCUCAAAAAGUAUUAUUUAAUAUCGAAAAGUUAAAUGGGUUUACUUGUUAUUGUUCAUUUUGAUUUUCAGAUAUCAAAAUCUUUUGAAUUGAAGAGCACGGGGGAUUAGCAUGCAUCAGCUUAUGAGGCUGCAGGUUUACACAACUUCAUCUCUUUUUUCUUUUUCCCUUUUUCUCUUUUUCUCUUUCCAACCCCUAAAAGGAAAAUGAUCUGUUACAAAAAAAGCUUACAAACAAGGCUUGAGUUUCUUUAAGCAUUAAUGCAUAUGGAAUCUACUUCUUUGACUUGCUUCGUCAUCUUCUUCAUACCACUUCCCCAAAAAUCGACAAAAUGAUAAAAUUUUCAUUAAUGAUAAUAAUUGUUGUACUCUGGUUUUUCCACAACCUGAACCCAUAAAAAACCAAUGCACCAAUGUGACAUUAUAGAUCAAUGGACUUGAAACCCUAAAACCCAAGUAACCGAUAAGGACUCUCAUGUAAGAAUAACAACAGUACAUUAUUUUAGUAUUUGGGGAGAAGUCACGCACACUCCUAAGGUUUUGUUUAAAUAGUCACUCGGAUCCUUUUUUUUUUUUUUUGUCUGAACCACGAGGUGGUCCUGAGUGGGCCCCAAUUGUGGGAGAUACCUUUAAGCCCGUACCACAACUCAGACUAAUCCCCGCUCGUACCGGGUCGGCCCAUAAGGGGUAAAGUACUGGCCAAAGUGAUGACUCCAUACGAGAGCGGGGCUUGAACCCCUGACCUCUCUUGAGGAGUGAGAGUGCCGAACCACGCACACCAGCCAACUUUGGUUACACGAAUCCUUUUAAUUUCUUAAAUAGUCACACAAACCUCAUUAAUUUUAUAAAUUACAAUUAUACCCUUUCAUUGUGGAUUUUUUGUUGAAAAGAAAUUGUUAACAAUCUACAGAUGCAUACUAUCUGAAAUCUAGUGAGAUUAUAAAUAAAUAUACUUAUAAUGACACUCUAGAUGCUAACAACAGAAAUCUAUCAAUUUUUUUUUUUUUUUGGUUUUUUACUCUUCACAGACUGAGUACAAAAAAUAUAGUUAAUGUAGUGAUCUUACUAGUGAAAGUUGAAAAAAUGAGCAGAAAAUGAUAAAAUUAGGCAGAAUGGAGUUUUAGUCAUUUUCCAUUCACAUUUUUGUCAGUACGUAUAUUCAUUUACAGGUCGGGAAAAGGACUUGAUCUACUAGUAAAGUCUUUGUCAUGUGACUCACCACGCAGGUAACUUAUUAAAAUGGCAAUUAUAGAUCACUUAAUUUAACAAGUUGAGCUCCGUGGCAAUGCAGGAAGCAGGUCGUCAAGCUGAUCUCAUAGGCGGAGUACGACAGAAGAAAAUGAAUAAUAUUGUUAGAGGUUAUUUUUGUGCUCGUAUUUACAUUUUUGACUCUAGAGAGAACAAUAGAAGAAGUGAAAAGGGCUUAGAAUAUUAUUCACACAGACAUCACCAUUCAUUACACAUAAUUAAGGGGGAAAAAAGGAAAAUGCCUUAUCCAUCAAAGGAGAUGCCUUAAUUCACAUACUCAUGGUACUUAGCCAGAAGAACAAGAAAAUUCUUCUUAUGCACGGUAGUUCCGGACAGAGAAUCAAAGUUCAAAUCUUGCUUCUUCAUUCCUGGAGGCAUUUCCCAAUCAAAUUUGUAAAGAAGAUUGGCAAGUGCAAGAUCCACAGUUGCAAUUCCCAAAUGCAUUCCAGGACAAAUUCUUCUGCCAGCACCAAAUGGUAUAAACUCAAAGUUUUGCCCUUUAAAGUCAAUAGAACGAUCAAUAAAUCUCUCAGGAUUAAAUUCCUCAGGAUUCUCCCAAGCUUCAGGAUCUCUUCCUAUUGCCCAUGCAUUUACGUAAACAAUUGUUUUAGCCGGAAUUUCAUACCCGUCUACUAUGCACUUUUCAGUUGUUUCUCUGGGGACUAGUAAGGGAACUGGCGGUUGCAAUCUCAUAGCCUCUUUCACUACAGCUUUAAGAUAGUGUAGUUCUUGAACAUCAUCUUCAUCGACAAAGCUUUUGUUGCCGCCAACCAAAGAUCUAAUUUCUUCUUGAACCUUUUUCAUCACUCUAGGAUGCAUCAUUAGGUAGGUCAUGGUCCAAACCAUAGUCGCCGCGCUCGUGUCUGUUCCAGCAACGAAUAUGUCCUGCAAAGCAAACAACAUAUAUAUGUACAUACGGAUAAAUUAUCUAAAGGAACAAAUUAUAUUAGAUUAAUUAUACACAUAAAUAGACAUGCCGUCAAUUACAUACCAUGAGCACUGCUUUGAUGUGAUCCAAAGUUAGGUCAACUUUGAACCCACGAUGUUUUCGAAUUUGAAGUAAAACAUCAAUUAAAUCCUCCUGCUGCAUAUCUGCUUUUGUUCUUUUUGGAUCUAAAUGCUCGUCGAUGAGUUCUUGGUAGAAUCUAUCAGAUUCUUGGAAGUUAUUUUCCAUGCGACGCAUCAUUCCGGUGAGUUUAUCAAUCCAACCCAUAAAAGGAAAAUAAUCCGUAACAAAAAAGGCUAUAGACAAGGCUUGAAUUUCUCUAAGCAAUGCAUGGAGUCUACUUCUUUCACUUGUUGCCUCAUCGUUAUCAUCAGAUCUCUUGCCAAAACCAAGUCUACAAAUGGUGUUGCACGAAAGAGACAUAAUUAUCUCACUUAAGUUGACUUGUUUAGAAGCAGCAGCUGAUUUUGAUAUGGAUUCAAUCAUUCUCGAAACUUCAUCUUCUCUAAUGGGUCGAAAAUUUUGUGCUCUAAUAGAGCUAAAGAGAUGAACGACACAUAUUUUUCUAAUCUCUCUCCAAUACGCACCGUACGGUGAAAAUACCAAGUCCAAGCCAUUAUAAGUUAGCCUUUGUGUUGCUACCAAAGCUGGCCUGCCAGAGAAUUGAAGAUCAUGGGCUUUUAAAGUCUCCUUAGCCAUUUUGGCUGAGGAAACAAUUAGGGUCGGCACAAAACCAAGACGCAAUGACAUGAGAGGACCAUAUUUUUUAGAUAGUUCCCAAAAUGACACAUGAGGCUUUGAGGCGUCAAACUGGUGUAAAUUACCUAUAAAAGGAAGGCCCUUGGGACCAGGUGGUAGCGACGAAGCAUAACUUGAAGUUAUGUGUCUUCGUAAAACAAAGAAGAGGAAGAUUGGGAGACACAGAAGGAUGAUCAUGACGAUAAGUAAAGCCAUUAUCCCUACUGCGAUAAUAAUAGAAAACCUCUAUGAAUAAGGAAACAAAACUCAAUUCAGUAAUAUAAAAUUAUAAAUGGGAGGGCUCUCUUUUGGUAGUCUUGUGAGGUCCUUUUAUCUUGUGUGAGGUUUGCAAAACGAAACAUAUAUAACAGAUUUGAUAAGUUCGACAAAGAUUUAAUAUCCACAUAUAUCUUACCUUGCGAAAUUUCCAAAGUUGCAUUAUUGUUGUGACACUAUUAGACAUUUGAGGUAAGCCAUGAAAUGAUAUUUUGAGUGCUAGGAGAUCUUACUGAUGAUAUUAAUUAUUGAUUUAUCUGUGUCAAUAGUCAAUAAUGCUUAUCCUUUCAUGGCCACUUGGAUUUAAUAAUUGGUAAGUUGGCCCCUUUUGUAGGCCAUCCCCAUAGUUUAUUAAUCGAGAAAACUUCCACGUUUCCGAAAUUGACCUAUGUAUCAUCAUGCACAAAGUUCGUCUGUUGUCUUUUCCUUCAGCGAUCAAGUUACAGCCGGCUAGGAUUAAUUUUUUAAGCGCUUCCCCUUUUGAGCCAUAUAUUGCCUAACGAAUCUAAGAACGUUGAAUAUGCUUUAAAUUGGAUCCAACGGAUGGCAUCAAAAUUAUCGAAAAUUAGUAAUAAGUGGUAAAGAACCGGUCAUUUUAAGUGAUGGGCAACUUGAUCAAAGGGUUAAUUCUUAGAAAAAGAAUAAAUUUUCUUCUUAUCCCUCUUCUCUCCUUCCUCUUCUUCAAUCGAAGCAAUUCUAGCAAUUCUGCAACAAAUUUAACUAGGUAAUUACAAUGUUUAAAUCAUUCUAUUCCGUCAUUAACUUUGCUUCCGUGUGUUAUUAAAUUUACUCUUUUUUUUUUAAAUCCAUCCUUUGGAUUUUGAAUAGCGAUUUUGCAAUUCAUUCGGUCCAAGUAUUUUCUAUCUAUUCAAUUUUUUUCCCCAUUUAAUUAGCAUCGACGAACAGUGAUUGAGUUGUAAAUUUUGAUCCUUUCAUGCUUUAAUCUUAAGCUUUGAAUUGGUGAAAGAAACCCAUGCUCCAACUUGUGUGGUUAUAUGUUUAAUAAAGGAAUAAUUAGGCUAUGAAUUUGUGAAUUUUAGUUUUCAUCUGCACCAUUUUGCAUCUCUCUGUUUCUUCAUUUCACCUCACUCAACACAAGAAAAUUUUUAGCCCUCACAGCCUUCAAUCAAACACACAACCCUAAGCCGACAACAAGAAUAGAAGCAAAAACAGGCCCAUAUUUGCAAUUUUCUUUACAAUCAAUUUCUUGAUCUGGGUUUUGUUUGGACUCGAAGAAUCACAACUAGAAACUGAUUUUGCAGUCUCCAAGCUGGAUUUUCCAUCUGGAUUUUGUUUGGAAUCGAAUAAAAACUCCGACUUUGAAGUUGGAUUUGAAUCUUUGAAAUCCGGGUGGCUGGAAUUCGGUGGUGGAGGUUGGCAGUGAAUUUUGAGGAGGAUUGUGUUGGAAGAGAUAGAAUCCCUUUUUGCCUAACGUUAUGGUGUGUUCUUAAUUUGAUGGUUAACUUUUGUCAUGACCGGCUAUAGAUGAGAAUUUCUCCCAUUGACACAUGUUGGCGACCAGACUCCAACCGUCUAAAACCAGUUUCAUUUUAUUGAAACUUGUCCUACAUCAAGAAUACUGACCCCCAAAAAAAAAAUUCCGAUUCCUUUUAUUCCCGUUAUUAAAGGAUGACCAUCGGGAGAGAAUUAGAUAACGGUCCGAGUUAUAGUGUAUUUUAAAACAUGAAUAGAAAAUGAUUAAUUUUUUAGAAAAUGGAGUUUCACUUUCGUUCCAAACAUACACUUACGAUUAGAUAUAAUAACAAAAUUUUGUUUUCAGCAGAUUAUGUAUUAUUCCAAUUCCUUUUUCAGGAAUAAAACGACGUUCACAUUAAUAAUUAAAGGCCUUUGUCAUGUGUGCCUCACCAAGACACCAAGACACCAAGUAAUAACAUAGAAGAAUGGCAAUUAUUGAUCACUUGAUUUAUUACUUUCAUUUCAAAGCAACGUGUUUGUGAUGCAAGAAGAAAGCGUGAAGAGCAUGGGGUUCCCUAUUGUCUUUCAAAUGAUAUUUUUUUUGUUUGUUUUAUAAUGUAGAUAUGAUUAGUAUUUGGUAAAUUUGAAAAUACGUCUAGUAGUUUAUUAAGAUUUUAAAAUCUCAAUAAAAAAACUAAAAUGUAUAUUGGUUUGUUUGUUUAGAAAUAUAGAAAUACUUAUAGAUAGUGAAGAACAUUAAAUUACAUUUGUACAUAAAAAAUAUAAGAAAUAAAUAAAAGAGAGUGGUAAAAGAAUAUUAAUAACUAUGCAAACUCUCAAUCUGCACGUAAUUUAAGCAUAAAAAUAGUGGUGGAUCCUAUGAACAAUGUGAAAAAUAAAGAUUUUAUGUUUUUCAACUUUCUUUAUUAGUAUUGUAAAACAAGCAUGAUUUAUUUUCAUAAAAAGAAAAAAAUAUCACUGUCACACUCUUAGAUCUAUUACUAAGGCCUACCAAACAUUUUUUUUUCUUUUUUCCUGUUCUUGUAAAAUAGAAAAUGAGUGAUGAGAAAUAAUACCAUAUAUACCAAACAACUCCUGAAGUUCUAUAAAUUAGUAUCUUAGUCGUUACAAGUUAAAAUGGAUGUUUUCAUCAUUUUAUGACAUUCAUAUGGUAAAAAAAAUCAACAAUUAAUCUUUAACGAAAAUUCUAAUGGUUGGUUGUUUGUUGAUAACUUUUCAAACUCAUGGGGAUAAUGUUAAAAAUGACAAUCAAUGCAUAAUUAAAAUUAACCCCAAAAAAAUAUGAACCAAAUACAAAAGCAAUAAACCAGUAAAAAUUAAAAGUCACCAAUGUCACAGGGGACCAUAAUAAAGAAACCAUAAAUUAAAAUAGAUGACAAAAAAAGUGAAAAUAACUUGAAUCUAUACUCUGUGAGGAGAAUUGGUUUGAUGUGAUCCAAAGUUAGAUCAAUUUUGAACCUGCCAUCUUUUUCUUUUAUUUUACUCAAAGCACAAACUUAAAUAAAUGAUGAUCCAAGCAUUCUUAUUUAUGGAAUCUUUGGACUUAGUUUGAAGGUUUCAUUGAAUUAUCGUGGUAGGGGACCAUAAUAAAGAAAUCAUAAAUUAGAAUAGACAACAAAAAAAAAAAGUGAAAUUAACUUGAAUCUAUGCGCCAUGAGCAUUGGUUUGAUGUGAUCCAAAGUUAGAUCAACUUAAGUAAAACAUCAACUAAAUUAAUCCUCGUGCUGCAUCUUUGCUUUUGUUCUUUUUGGAUCUAAAUGGUCAUUAAUUAGUUCUUGGUAGAAUCUAUCAAAUUCUUGGAAGUUAUUUUUUAGGUGAUGCAUCAUUUCUGUGAGUUUAUCAAGCCAACCCCUAAAAGGAAAAGGAUCUGUUACAAAAAAAGCUUACAAACAAGGCUUGAGUUUCUUUAAGCAUUAAUGCAUAUGGAAUCUACUUCUUUGACUUGCUUCGUCAUCUUCUUCAUACCUCUUCCCAAAAAAUCGACAAAAUGAUAAAAUUUUCGUUAAUGAUAAUAAUUGUUGUACUCUGGUUUUUCCACAACCUGAACCCAAAAAAAAAAAAAAAAAAAAAAAAACCCAAUGCACCAAUGGAACACUGAGCAUCAUAUAUAGAUCAAUGGCCUUGAAACCCUAAAACCCAAAUAACCGAUAAGGACUCUCAUACAACAAUAUCAACAAACAUUAUUUUAGUAUUUGGGGAGAGGCCACGCACACUCCAAAGGUUUGUUUAAAUAGUAACCUUUUUAAUUUCCUAAAUAGUCACACAAACCUAAUUAACUUCAUAAAUCAAUAUUAUACCCUUUCAUUGUGGGCUUUUUUAUUGAAAAAAAUUGUUAACAAUCUACAGAUGCAUACUAUCUGAAAUCUAGUGAGAUUAUAAAUAAAUAUACUUAUAACGACACUCUAGAUGCUAACAUCGGAAAUCUACCUCUCUCUUUUUUUCUACUCUUCAUGGACUACGCAUACAAAAAAUAUAGUUAAUGUAGUGAUCGUACUAGUGUAUUGUUGUAGAAAUUUUGAAUAUACUCGCAAGCGCAUUAAUCUAGAAAUAGAAUAGUGGUAACGAGGUCGAACCCAUAUAGAUUGCUAUUAAAUUGAAAAAACUAAUUUAAAUACAAAAUUAAUAUUAAUCCUAACUUAGUUGAACAAUUUGAGUUUUAAAGAGAAAUUAAACUAAUUAAAUUAAGAAAACAAUUAAAACAAAGGAGAAUUCGAUAAAAUAAAAAUUACCAAGAUUUCAGAAUCUACCACUAUUCAACUAGUAAGUAUCUAAUUGUUAAUUAAUUCCCAAUUUUGGAGUGACAACUCGAAAUCAAUCUAUGUCAUCUCAUGGACAUAAUGAUUAAGCCCAAUUAAAAUUAAUCUUAUGUAAGUUCUUUUUUUACUUAAUAAUAUGAUAUUUAAACGUCUCAUGUAAACAUAUUGAAUAACAAAGAGUCGAAUUUUUCCUAAGCAUUUUAUGUAAACAAUUUUAAUGAAAGACGCCGAAUUAAAAGAUAAUCAUAAAUAAAUUUUAUAAAUUCAAGCAUGGAUUAAAUAACAUCUAAUAAUGCGUCACAGAAUUAGUGAAAGGGAAAAUGGGAAAAUGACAGAAUGCGUGACAUCAGCAUUCAUUACACAUUAUUAAGGGGGGAAAAGGAAAAAUGCCUUCUCCAGCAAAGGAGAUGCCUUAAUUCACAUACUCAUGGUACUUAGCCAGAAGAACAAGAAAAUUCUUCUUAUGCACGGUAAUUCCGGACAGAGAAUCAAAGUCCAAAUCUUGCUUCUUCAUUCCUGGAGGCAUUUCCCAAUCAAAUUUGUAAAGAAGAUUAGCAAGUGCAAGAUCCACAGUUGCAAUUCCCAAAUGCAUUCCAGGACAAAUUCUUCUGCCAGCACCAAAUGGUAUAAACUCAAAGUUUUUCCCUUUAAAGUCAACCGAACGAUCAAUAAAUCUCUCAGGAUUAAAUUCCUCAGGAUUCUCCCAAGCUUCAGGAUCUCUUCCUAUUGCCCAUGCAUUUACGUAAACAAGUGUUUUAGCCGGAAUUUCAUACCCGUCUAUUAUGGACUUUUCAGUUGUUUCUCUGGGGACUAGUAAGGGAGCUGGCGGUUGCAAUCUCAUAGUCUCUUUCACUACAGCUUUAAGAUAGUGUAGUUCUUGAACAUCAUCUUCAUCUACAAAGCUUUUGUUGCCGCCAACCAAAGAUCUAAUUUCUUCUUGAACCUUUUUCAUCACUCUAGGAUGCUUCAUUAGGUAGGUCAUGGUCCAAACCAAAGUCGCCGCGCUCGUGUCUGUUCCAGCAACGAAUAUGUUCUGCAAAGCAAACAACAUAUAUAUGUACAUACUGAUAAAUUAUUUAAAGGAACAAAUUAUAUUAGAUUAAUGAUACACAUAAAUAGACAUACUGUAAAUUACAUACCAUGAGCACUGCUUUGAUGUGAUCCAAAGUUAGGUCAACUUUGAACCCACGAUGUUUUCGAAUUUGAAGUAAAACAUCAACUAAAUCCUCCUGCUGCAUAUCUGCUUUUGUUCUUUUUGGAUCUAAAUGCUCGUCGAUGAGUUCUUGGUAGAAUCUAUCAGAUUCUUGGACGUUAUUUUCCAGGCGACGCAUCAUUCCAGUGAGUUUAUCAAUCCAACCCAUAAAAGGAGAAUAAUCCGUAACAAAAAAGGCUAUAGACAAGGCUUGAAUUUCACUAAGCAAUGUAUGGAAUCUACUUCUUCCACUUAUUGCCUCUUCGUUACCAUCAGAUCUCUUGCCAAAAGCAAGUCUACAAAUGGUGUUGCACGAAAGAGACAUCGUUUUCUCACUUAAGUUGACUUGUUUAGAAGCAGCAGCUGAUUUUGAUAUGGAUUCAAUCAUUCUCGAAACUUCAUCUUCUCUAAUGGGUCGAAAAUUUUGUGCUCUAAUAGAGUUAAAGAGAUGAACGACACAUAUUUUUCUAAUCUCUCUCCAAUACUCACCAUAGGGUGAAAAUAUCAAGUCCAAGCCAUUAUAAGUUAGCCUUUGUGUUGCUACCGAAGCUGGCCUGCCAGAGAAUUGAAGAUCAUGGGCUUUUAAAGUCUCCUUAGCCAUUUUGGCUGAGGAAACAAUUAGGGUCGGCACAAAACCAAUACGCAAUGACAUGAGGGGACCAUAUUUUUUAGAUAGUUCCCAAAAUGACACAUGAGGCUUUGAGGAGUCAAACUGGUGUAAGUUUCCUAUAAAAGGAAGGCCCUUGGGACCAGGUGGUAGCGACGAAGCAUAACUUGAUGUUACGUGUCUUCGUAAAACAAAAAAGAGGAAGAUUGGGAGACACAGAAGGAUGAUCAUGACGAUAAGUAAAGCCAUUAUCCCUACUGUGAUAAUUGUAGAGAACCUCUAUGAAUAAGGAAACAAAACGCAAUUCAGUAAUAGAAAUGGGAGGGCUCUCUUUUGGUACUCUUGUGAGGUCCUUUUAUCUUGCGUGAGGCUUGCAAAAAAAUUGAUAAGUUCGACGCAGAUUUAAUAUUUUGAGUGCUAAAUCUAUAUUAUACUUAGAGGAGUGCUAGCAACAGCGCUAGCUUCCUCUGCUGACACGUGUUUGGUAUUUUGAUUUUCGUGUAAUUUUAAAUUAAUAUUAAAAUAUUAAUAUUUUUAGUUUUAUUUUAAUAUUUUUAUGUUUUAUGUAUCAUUCAUUUACCAUAAUAUCCUUAUCCCCUCUCCCUCUUGCCAAGCUUUCUCUGACCGUCUCUUCACUUUUCCGACUUCAGAUUUAAUAUGAUAUUUUGUUUUGGUUGUUUAGUCGGAUAUACAUGGUUUGAAUUAUUUUUGUUAUUUAUUUUCUGAAAUACAUAUUUUUUAAAAUUUUGAUUUAGCUAAAAAAAAGACUCUACUUUUAAUUUUCUUUCCCCCCUUUCUCUCUUUUUUCCCAAGCUUUCAUUAGAGAAGGAAAGCAAGAAAAUAAAUUGAAGAAGAAGAGAAGGAAGUUGCAGUGGCAGGAAGAACAAGGAGAAGAGAGAGCCUGGCGAGAGGGAGACAAGACAAGGAUAUUGUGGUAAGUUUCCUAUACAUAAAAAUAAUAAUAUUAAAACAAAACAAAAAAAUAUUAAUAUUUUAACAUUAAUUUAAAAUUACACAUAAAAUAAAUAAAAAAAUUAGCGAGCGAGUCAGUCGCCCUUAUGGGCGACUGUCGCUAGCACUCAUCUUAUACUUAAAGGGUUAUUUUUAGGGACCUCCCCUGAGGUUUGGUGUAUUAACACUUAGAUAAAAUGUAUUGAUGUAAUUACAUAUACCUCCCUUAUCGUUAGUAUAAAAAUACGUAUGGCAUCAGUAUAGAAGGGUAAAUGUGUAAAAUCAUAUUUAAAAUUCAAAAUAUGUUUUUACUACUAUUUUGACCGACUUGCCCGUUGUUGACCGAACUUAACCAGUUGGCCAUGACUCCACCGGCAGCCACCAUUUCGUCGCCGUCCAUCCCCUCAACCAACCCCCAUGAAGUCCCAACCUCAAUAACAUCUCAACAGCCACAAAACCCACGAUUUUUUCAUCCCACACUUGCAGCCACAUUCAAACUCAUGAGAUCUCGCUGCCGCCAUCUUGUCAAAGUCCGUUGAUGGUGCUCAAUCGCAAAGCGGGAAUGGAAUCAAUAGCUUGCCUGAACUAGAAUAGCCUGGUUGAGAAGGGGAUACAAAGUCUGGGAUGGUCGUGGACAAGAUUCGAACCCGGGAAGAAAAUAACACGGGUUGGUUUUGGGAAAAUUAUGCUCCUUGUAGGUGCUCUUUCGAAAGCAUAGAGCUGGGCAGCGGAGAAAGAAAGGAAGGGAACAAGGUAGAAAGAAAGACAUGAUGGCGUUGAAGGUGUAUAAGCCAAGCCAAAGGAUGGCGCCAAGGAAGAUGGCAGGCAGCAAAAGCAGUGGUUGAAGACCCAGUUUGGAAGCAGCAGCCGGCCAAACCUAUUACCCAUAAAUUCUCAAAGCCACAUUUAAUAAUUUAUUAUUUUGGUGAGAAGGGUAUUUUAGUAAUUGUGACAGUCCACUAACAGUCAACUUAACGACUAAUUAACGGCAGGGGAGGUUUCUGUAAUUAUAUCAAUACAUUCUAUCUAAGUGUUAAUACACUAAACCUCAGGGGAGGUCCUUAAAAAUAACCCUAUACUUAAAUCACAAGUUGUGACACUAUUAUACAUGUAAGUUAAGCCCGAAAUGAUAGUUUGACUUUUUGAGUGCUACUAGAUCUUGAUUUACUCAUGAUAUUAAUUAUGGACUCGACUAGCUUACAGAAUCUGUAAGGUACAGACUGCAGCAUCAGCCGUUGGAUGUGGAGUGAGAAACUGAACAAUAGAAAAUCGGAUGGUGGGAUGACGGGAGAUGUUUGUUACAGAAUCUGUACCAUAGACAGGUCCAUUAAUUAUUGUUUAUAUGUGUCAAUGGUCAAUGCUUAUACUCUUUUUUUUCUUACCACGAGGUAUUUUGGGGAGGACCCCAACUGUGGGAGACACCUUUAAGUUUGUACCACAACUUAGACUAGAAGUUCUCGCUCGAGAGGCACAUGUUCUCCCAACAAAGGUGACUUCCCUAUGACUUAAAUUGGGAAACAAAUCCAGUCAAACCACUUAAGGAAACUCCAUUAUCAGUGGAGCCAACACUUUAUUGGUCAAUGCUUAUACUCUUUAAUCAAGCAAAUUAACUUGCUUUUGUCCUUUCAUGGCCACUUGGAUUUCAUAAUUGGUAAGUUGGCCCAGACCCCUUUUGUAAGCCAUGCCCAUACUUUAUUAAUCGAGAAAACUUCCAAGUUUCCGACAUUGACCUGUCUUCAUGCAGAAGGUUCUUCUGUUGUCUUUUCCUUCAGAGAUCAAGUUACAGCUGGUUAGGAUUAAUUUUUUAGGCGCUUUCCCUGUUUUUAGCAAGAGAUUUUAUAAUAUAUCUCUUGUAUUAUAAUUAAUUAAUACAUAUAUGACAUAUGUAAUUAAUUUUAAUACAAACAUCACUUACAUGAUAAUUUAUAAAAUAAAUACACAUAUAUUAUGAUAUUAUUUACUUAUUAUAUGACUAACAUAAUACAACAGAUGUAUUCUAAAAAUUUUCCGUUUAAGUCAUAUAUUUUAAAGAUUUUUCCAAAACAAAUAAUGGGCCACCGAGGCAGAUGAUGAGAUUUUUACCUUUGGGUCAAAACAUGAGCUAUAAAUGUCUUUUUAAAGUUUGCAAUAAUAAUACAGUUUUAAUGUUCUCAAUAAACGAAACAUGAAAAUUACCGAUUAUCCAUGUGGAUCAGUAAAUCAUCCCCAAGAUUUUUUAUUUUGGGCCUCAAUCAAAUCAUAGUUAGAGGAUAUUUUCUUACUUUUCGGGUUUCUUAUAAGUUUUUAUCUUUCCUCUAGAAAUCAUAUUUAAGUAUUAUUUUUCAUUUUGGGUACUAGAAUUUUUCCCUCUUAAAGUAAUUCAUAUUUUCCUCAUUUGACAAAUUCACAUGUAAGUAUUUUAGGUUGUAUUUAUUUUUUUAUCUGAAAUCUGAAUAGAUCUGAAUUUAUCUGAAGUUUGAAUAGGUCUGAAUGAAAAUAUCUGAAUGACAUGUUAGUUUUUUCUUUUUUAAUAUCUGAAGAGAAAAAUUUUAAAGGUAGUAGUUUGACAUAAAUAUCCUUUUAAAUGAUGCAUAUAUUUGUUCUUCAUAAUUUAUAAUUUUCACAAGUUGAUUAAUUUGGUAGUAUUAAAAAAUAUUAUCAUUGUUAAUCUUAGUUUAAUUUAUAAUAAAAGAUGUAGUUAUAACAUUAACUUUUAUUAUAAAGUCAACACUCUUGUUUUAUUUUUUAUUCAUCAUAGUGGACAUAAUUUGAUUCAUUCAAUAUUUUAGUUAUCAUGUGAAUAAAAUUUUAAAACAAUUAAAAAAAUAACUUCAAAAAUAAUACAAAAAUAUUAGGUUUAUACAUAAUAUUGGAAAUACAUAAAUUGUUAAGGGUAUUUGAAAUUUUCUAUUUACAUUUCAGAUUUUAGAUAAAAGUAGAUUUUUUUUACUUUUUCUAUUUAGAUAAAAUUAUCUGACAAUGAGUGAUAGAUUAAAACAAACAAACAACCUAAAAUAAAUAAAUGUAAAAAAAAUGUAAUUUUAAAAUUUAUAUUUACUACAUAUUAUUAACUUUUAUUUUAUAGUUACAUUUUUUUUCACAACAGUUGUAACUUAAAAAAUACAAUACUUCAAUCCCAAACAAGACUUUAGUAUCUUAGUCGGUACAAGUUAAAAUGGAUGUUUUCGUCAUUUUAUGACAUUCAUAUGGUCAAAAAAUCAACAACUAAUUUUUAACGAAAAUUCUAAUGGUUGGUUGUUUGUUGAUAACUUUUCAAACUCAUGGGGGUAAUGUUAAAAAUGGCAAUCAACGCAUAAUUAUUGAGUAUCCAUUAAAAUUAACCCCAAAAAAAUAAGAACCAAAUACAAAAGCAAUAAACCAGUAAAACUUAAAAGCCAACAAUGUCAAAGGGAACCAUAAUAAAGAAACCAUAAAUUAGAAUAGACAAUUAAAAAAGAGUGAAAAUAACUUGAAUCUAUAUUCUUAAUUAAUUUUACGUUAUGUUCUAAAUUAUAUAUCAUACUAUCAAAUUUGAACUGGAUUUUUUAUUGCACUUCAACAUAAUUGUACUUGAAUUAAAAUUACCACAUGUUCAUGUCAAGUGAUUGAAAUCAUUCAACUAAGUUAUGAUUUUUGUUUUAAAAAUAAUGAAUGAUUUAUAUAUUUGCAAGAUGCAACAAACCUUGUUCAAAUUUUUAUGUCGACGAUUAAUACAAAAACUCAUUGGACUCGUGGUCUAGUAACACUAUCCCAAAUAAAUGAUUGAAAGUUUUGAUUAAGAAAGUGAAUAAGUUCCUCUUUAUCCUAAUCCUCUAUAAAUUUUGUGUAUAAUAAUUAAUUUUAGUAUUGUUCAUACCUUGAGAAAUAUGAGAGUAUUUAUAAUUACUUCAUGUCAAAUCGAAACUAAAUACAUUUACGUGAGCUCUAAUUAAUGAAAUCUCAAUAAAUGUACAUAGGCACAUUUUUCUUUCUCAGCCAGUUGAACAAUUCCACCAAGAACAAACACUUCUCAUUAUGGUGGGAAAUUUAUAAAAGUAACCUAAAAACUUUUGCUAUUUUCACAAUUAACUCUCAAAAUUUUUUUCUAUCAACAUUAGCCAAACAGAAGGUUUUUUCCCCAAAUUAUCGUGUUUACAAACAAAAAAUAACUGUCUUUCUCUCCUUUUAUCAAACCAAACACAGUCUUGCACUCUUAAAUCAUCACCAGCGACGGUAAAAGGCAAUGGCAAACGCCGACGGCGAACGGUAAAAGUGAAUUCCGAUCAUAAUCCAUUCAGAUCCAACACCAAUCUGCAUCAGUGAGUGGUAAGAGUUAUUGUCUCAACUUGCGAGAAAGUUUCAGUGCAAUUGCAUCUUGGUGCAACAGGCUGCCUGUCGCAUGAAAUUUUCGUGCGACAAACUGCCUUUUGGUGCGAUGGGUAGCCUGUUGCACCAAAACCGUACGACAGGCAACCUAUCUCACCAAAAGGCAGAUUCAUUGCAACUGACUCUUUAUUAGUUUGAUAGUUCGUAAUUAAUUUUUUUUUUAUAAUUUCAGACUUAAUGGAUUCAGUUGUGCUUGAAUUGUGUUAUGAUGAUUGGUGGGAGACAUUAGAAGAUGACCUUGUGGAGUAUGUGAAUGGUAAAAAUAUAAUUUUUUUGUUAGGAAAAAUUGUUCGUUUGAUCAGUUUUUCACAAGAGUAUAUGAGGUUUUACAAAUAAAUCCUAAUGAAUAUAGUAUUACAAUGAAGACAACUUUAAGGUCUAGUAAUACAUUAUAUCGUAUAUGUACACUGUCCAUGGAUAUAUUUGAUGAUGAAAUAGUGAGGGUUGUGUUGCAUAUGGCAUCCAACGUGGCCAACUAUGGAUGCAUUCCUAUAUUUGUUACCACAUCACCUCGAGUUCCGAGCGAAGAUGUUGAGCCACCCGUCGAAACAGAAACUUCAUUUAGAGUAAAUAUGUCUGGCCCCCAUAAUAAAGAAGAGGUGUUGCCAAGGACAAUGUCAUUGCAGCAAUAUUGCUCUCCAAUCCACGACAAUAAUGACAACAUUGAUGACAACAACAUUACGUUAAAGGAUGUUGGAGAAGAGGUAUUACCACUAACGACGUCGUUGAAGCAAUGGUAUUCUCUGUAUCACAAGAACGAUUUCUGGGACAAUGAUGAGACAGAGGGAGAUAAUGUUUGUUCAUAACCUUCUAAUAGUAUGAGGGACAUUCAUUUCAAUAAUGCAGGUGAUGAUGUAGGAGCUAGUCCUUCAAAUAUUUUGUCGUUUCAGCAUGAGGAUGAGUGUGAAGACGAUAUUCGUGUAAAUAACAGAGACAAUCAAUCUAUUCCUCCAAUGGUUGGAUCGAGAAGGAGUGUUGACCCCCUCACAAGUCUUGCUCCAAUUUUGCCUCGAGUUCCGAGCGAAGAUGUUGAGCCACCCGUCGAAACAGAAACUUCAUUUAGAGCAAAUAUGUCUGGCCCCCAUAAUAAAGAAGAGGUGUUGCCAAGGACAAUGUCAUUGCAGCAAUAUUACUCUCCAAUCCACGACAAUAAUGACAACAUUGAUGACAACAACAUUGGGUUAUUUUUGGAUACCUCCCCUGAGGUUUGCUCUUACUACACUUAGAGAGAAAGUAUGCAUAUAUUGACAUAUAGCACCCCUCAAAGUGUAUAAGCGUUAGAGAGCUGUUUGGGUUGUAAGUAAAAAUACAAUAAUGCCCUUCAUUCCAAAGUACAAGAAUGUUCUUACAAUCCGGAGUUGUCAAGCUAUCCUUUAUUAUUUGGCGCCAAAUGCAUAAGAGCAUUGAAAAAGCAAUUAUACCCUUAUAAUAAUUUAAUUUGAGAAUAAAUAAAUGACAUAAUGAGAAAAAAUUCAUGUGAUAGAUGGAAAUAUUAAUAUACCCCUUUAAAAAUGUACUUAUAAUUGCUGAAUAACUGAAACAUUUCAACAAGGAACAAUUUAAAAAUAACAAAGCAAGGUUGAUAUUAUCCCAUUCAAGUUUGUUCAGCUCCAAGCUAACUUAACUCCAUCUCAACAUCAUCAGAGCAUAAAAACAACAAAUGUAAAUCAAAUGGCGCGUGGUCUCCCACGCCCCCAGGCUCCCUUAUGGCUGCACAGGCGCGUCGGCGGACGGAGUCUUCUACGUGAUUGGCGGGUUGAAGAUCGACGGGCCUCCCACGGGGGCGGCGGAUGCGCAGAUGUACAUGAGCUCGAUGGAUUUGUACGACGUGGAGGCGCGUGUCUGGUUGAGAAGCCGUGCGGUUCCCGGCGGAGGAUGCGUUAUAGCAGCGUGUGCAGCCGUGGGGUUUAUUUACGUUCUCACGAGUCACGCGGUUGAGAUGUCGUUUUGGAGAUUCGACGCGCAUCGGAGACACGGAGUGUUUGGCGAGUGGAGUAGGAUGAAGACGCCGCAGCUGGCGCAGCCGUGGAAUAGGAUGAAGACGCUGUAGCUGGCGCAGCCGGUGAGGCUAGACGGGUCCAUCAAGUUCAGUCUGGUGGGUGUCGGAAACAAGGUGAUGUUGGCUUUAAUGAAGAACGGGAGAGUCUUGAGGGCAAGCGACGAAAGGUUUGUUUGGAUUUACGACACGGUGGCCGGAGACUGGAGCUGUAUCUUACUGUAUCUUCAAGUUCAUAUAAGUUGAAAUCAGUGGGUAUUAUGGGGGAAUAAAAGUCAGCAGAUGAGAAGAAAAGAAGUGGAUUGUAAAAGGAAAAGCGUGGGUACUCGAAGAUGAUAAUCCGAAGACGAUUGUAAAAAUUCCAUUGAAAUGUUAAACAAGUGGGUAUUGUAAAAAGUUCAUUGAAAAGCGUGCAUAUCAAAUAUAUAAAAAUGGUACUUGCUUGGAAUGAAAACCAGUGGGUAUUUGAAAAUAAAUAUUUCACCGUGCUCCAUGCUUUCUGUCACUGUGUAUACAGUAUGUACAGUGUCUAGUUUAAUCAAUUUACUGUUUUUUAACGAUUUAAAAAAUUUAAAUUUUUGCAAUUACGUUAUUAUCCUUACAAACCAAACGGCUCUCUAACGCUUAUACACUUUGAGGGGUGCUAUAUGUCAAUAUAUGCAUACUUUCUCUCUAAGUGUAGCAAGAGCAAACCUCAGGGGAGGUAUCCAAAAAUAGCCCCAACAACAUUACGUUAAAGGAUGUUGGAGAAGAGAUAUUACCACUAACGACGUCGUUGAAGCAACGAUAUUCUCUAUAUCACAAGAAUGAUUUCUGGGACAAUGAUGAGACAGAUGGAGAUAAUGUUUGUUCAUAACCUUCUAAUAGUAUAAGAGACAUUCAUUUCAAUAAUGCAGGUGAUGAUGUAGGAGCUGGUCCUUCAAAUAUUCUGUCGUUUCAGCAUGAUGAUGAGUGUGAAGACGAUAUUCGUGUAAAUAACAGAGACAAUCAAUCUAUUCCUCCAAUGGUUGGAUCGAGAAGGAAGGUUGACCCCCUCACAAGUCUUGCUCCAAUUUUGCCUUCGAACAUGGUUGCUCCAAACUUUCUUAACAGUUGUGACUCAGAUGAUAUCACUGUGGGUGAGUUAUUCGUUGAGAAGAAUGAAUUAAUACUACAAUUGCGCAAGGUUGCCUUUAGGGAUAAGUUUGAUUUCAAGAUUGCACGGUUUACAACGACACGUUUCGAGGCUCACUGUUGUUCGGAAUCAUGUAAAUGGCGUAUUCGAAUAAUUAGAAGUUCGAACGAGCAUAAUGGUCCUUGGGUAGUGAAGAGAAUUGACAAUGUACACAUUUUCGUAAUGAGGUAUUGGUUUAUGGUCAUCAUCAAGUAAGGAGCCGAGUUGUCGGUCAUAUUAUCGCAGAUAAAUAUGUUUAAGAAAAGAAGAUUUAUUCUCCGAAUGACAUCAAAGCAGAUUUGCAGCAGGAAUACGGUGUUAAGUUAAUAUACCAGCAGGCAUAUCGGGCCAGAGAAGUUGGUCUUGAAGUAGUUCGAGGCAACCCUGCAGAGUCAUUCAACUUGUUCCAUAAAUACUCUCAUGUACUGACUCAAUCAAAUGAGGGUACAGUCACUCACCUCGAGCGAGAUGGAGAUUGUAAUUUCUUGUACUACUUUGUAGCACUUGGAUUUUCUAUGAAGGAUUUUAUGCAGUACAUUCGACCUGUCAUUGUUGUAAAUGGUACUCAUCUAAAGGGACUAUAUCAUGGAAGUAUGUUCGUAACAACAUGUCUGGAUGGUAACAAUCAAUUGUAUAUGUUAGCCAUUGUGGUCAUUGAUUCAGAAACAAUGAUGCUUGGGAAUGGUUUAUGAUGAAGUUACAAUGAGUGAUUGGCGAUAGGCCAAAGUUGGUAAUUAUCUCUGAUCGAUACACUGCCAUAAGGAGAGUCGUUCUGAAAGUAUUUCACAAUGCAACUCAUGGCGUUUGUUUUUACCAUUUGAAAUGUAACAUUAAGUCAAAGUUUAGGAUGUCCAAAGCUCUUUGGGAUGAAUUUGAGCCUACCUUUAUUAAUGCAGCAAAAGAAUAUAGACACGAGAAAUUUAAAAGACAACUUGAAGGGUUGUAGAUGCUCCACUCGGGUGCGGCUGAUUACUUAGAAAAUAAUGUGGGUACGUGUAAUUGGGCAAUGUCUCAGUUUGAAGGUAGGAGGUACAACAUACUUACCAUCAACAUCGCGAAGAGUGUUAAUUCUUUCAUGAGGGAACCAUGAAAAUUUUUUAUUACUCAUCGUGUUGAUUAUUUUAGGAAAAUAUUACAGCAAUGGUUUUAUGAUAAAAAAAUUGUGGCUGAAUCAAUGAGUACUCGGCUAACAACAUGGACGGAUGAAAUAGUCACUGAGAGGAAAACUAUAGCUGAAAGAAUGAUCGUUUGCCCGGUGUCUCUGCAUUGAUUUCAAGUUGUAGGUGAUGAGAUCAAGGAAUGUUUAGUUGACCUGCAAAAGAAAACUUACUCCUGCAAAGUAUUUCAGCUUGAUCAGCUUGUAUGUGCUCAUGCAAUUGCAGCUUGUUUAACUGUCCAAGUGGAUUUUAUAAACCUUUGUUCAGACUUUUACACCACAAAAUCGUUGGCGAUGACUUAGGUCUUCAUGUUCUCCCAAGACUUACCAUGCGUUGCAUGAGCAAGUGAUCAAUGUCAAAGAAAUAGUAGUUACGGAUUAUGCUCUCUUUUUCCUGAAAGGCAGAUUAUAUAAGCUCCUACUCUCUCCCAGUUUGAGGGUUAUGUAAUGAUGGUGCAUGUCUUUCGCAUGUUUGUUUUCUUAAGAGCGCAUUCUUUCCUCCUCUUUUACGUCUUCUACCUUCAUCUUAAUCCUUUCAGAACAUCUGCACUAGAUACUUUGUGUGCGCGUGUUUAUUGCAAAAAUGACAACCAAAUUGUUUUCUAAUAGUGGACACGGAUCGGUUCGGUUCAGUUCAAUAAUUUUUUUUUUUUUUACAAUAGAUAAUUCGAACAAAAUCAAAUUAAUUCGGUUCUCAAUUUGAUUCGGUUUUUUUUUUUUAAAUUUUAAACUUUAAUUAUUAUUUUUGGGGCAUUUUGUGGUUUUUUUCAAUUUCUUUUGUAUAAACCGAAUGAUUUUUCCAAAUUUUUUAAAAUAAACCAAACCCAACUGCCAGUUCGGUUCAAUAUUUCAAUCGCAACAAUUUUUUUGCCAACCCCUAGUUUUCUGUCAUUUGGACAAAAAUUUCAAAGACUGAUUGAACCAAAUCCAAAAUUUAUAUUGAAUUAUGGGAUACACCAUAUAGCAAUUGAUAGAAUAAAUAUUUUUCCUAUGCUUAAAUUAGUUAUUUAAAAACAACUCUCAACACUUGACCUAACUUUUGACUAAAGCUAGAACCUAGAGGCUAGAACUACAUGUUUCUAUAGCAAUGAUAAAAAUAAAAUAAAAAACUCAAAUAAAAAAAGAAGAAAAAAGAAAAAAGAAAAAAAACACAUUGAACUUCAACUCUUAUACUAUGAAAGAAGGAAUAAUCAAAAUACCAAACUAAACAUAAUGAUAUAACCUGAGACUCCCAAAUAGACAAGAUAAUUUCAGGAAAAAUUAACAAGAAGAUUUUUCGAUAUAAUAUUACAAAGAGUUCAGCCUAAUGUUCAGCAACCAAAAUUAAAAAAGAAUGGAUCUUAACAUCAAUCUUGAGCAUCCAUGUAAAAGAGAGACACUAAUAUAAGUAAUCCAUGUAAGACAUAGAUACAAUAAAAACAAAAUGCCAGGAAAACUAGUUUCCCAUUCUCUUCACCCAUCUAAGCUUUCCUAAACUUACUAAUUGAAGUUCAAAUGGGCACAAUAAACAGAGCAUAUCUUGGGCUGUUCAACAGCUUAAUCAACUUGUCGAACAAGAAUAAAUGAAGGAAUGUCAAUAAAAAGAUUAAACUGAAGAGAAGAAGAAUGACCUAUUAUGGGAACUGGAAUGAACCUCCUAUUUGGUUAGUACCAGCUGGAGGAUUGAUUGCCACCCAAAGGAGAGAGAUGGUGAUUGCGAUAAGUCCUGACCAUACAAAAACAAUGGUAGGUGUUCUGCCUCUUCUUCCCAUAAGCCCUUUUGCGAAAGGAUAGAGAUGGGCCAAAACCCAGAAACUGAAGAAAACUCCACCCACUAAGCGACUCCAUUGUGGUAUAACACUGUAAAUUGUUCUGCUCAACCCGACUGCUAUUGCAAUUAAGUUAACCAUCAUGAUUGUGAUUGGCGGUAUCAUUAGAGAUGUCCAUUUGACAAUGUAAAGAUCAGCAAACUCAUCAUCCACAUCAUCACCACCUGAUUUCGAUGUCAAGGUGAAAGAUAUUUCAAUUCCAGCAAUGACUUUCAGCAGCCCUUGAAGCACAGCAGCAAGGUGAGCACUAGUGCCUCCAAUCAGCCAAAACUGUUCAUUUCUCCACCACUCUUCUAAUUCAAUGCCGGACCAUUUAAUUUCAAGCAAAGCUAGUAUACUUAGAGUCACAGUGAUGGUAAGAAGGUAGGAAAGGAAUGUAACAUUGAGGGUCUGGACGAUGAACUGGCCGGAGAAGAGGGAAAGAGCUGGAAGAAAGCAGUAGACAAUCAGGAAGAUAGAAGUGAAAGGAUAGAUUCCAACAUUGAGGUAUGCUAUCCUUUGGAGCAACUUCAUUUUUGGGCUGGCAAGGAGGGCAUUGUUGCGGGAGAAAAAGAUCUCAACUGAACCAGUAGCCCACCGUAGGACUUGAUGAAGCCUAUCUGUAAGAUUUAUCGGAGCAGUUCCACGGAAGGCAUCACGCUUGGUCACACAAUAAACAGAUUUCCACCCUCUAUUGUGCAUUCUAUACCCAGUGACCACAUCUUCGGUAACAGACCCAUAAAUCCACCCUAUACGCUGUCCCCAUUCAGUCUUGUCUUCAUACCAGCACGAGAUGACACUGAUAGCCUCUGCAACAGUUGAUGCAUCAAGAAGUUCACGAGGUAUGGUAAGAGCACCAGGUGGGCGUCCAUUCUUCACAGAGGGGUGAUCUGCAAGGGGACGACCUUGGAACUCUGCCACUGGAAUUGAAUCAACAAGGAAAGUUGAGUUACCAAACUUCUUAGGGAACAAAGAAAGGUUCAUCUCUUCAUCAUCAGAAUCACCCAUUCUUAGGGCCCGAUUCUCUUCAGGGGUGUUUGUAACUGAGGAAUGCUUCUUGUGACGGCCAAAGCAGCAGCUGCAGCAACCUGGGUGGUGCUCUUUUGCUCGAGGAGGAUCAAAUCCAUAGAGGGCAAUCCUCCUAAAUAGACAUCCAGUGCCAACAUAGAAUGGACCCAUAACUCCAUCUAGGGCUCGCAUGUUAACAUCAAAGAAAACAGUGUUGUGAUUUGCAUAUCGAUCAGAAGGGUCAAUACCCUCAAAUCUCUGAGGGAACUGCACAUAACAAAGGCGAUCACCUCCACGAUCCAUCAUAAAGCACAUACCCUCCCUCAAUGCCUGAGAGUUGUAGAUGUAAUGGUCACAGUCGAGGUUGAGAAUAAAGGGGCCAUUAGACAUAAUGGCAGAGGCGCGAACUAGGGCAUUCAUGGCUCCAGCCUUCUUAUUAUGGUCAUAUCCCGGGCGCUUCUCACGAGAAACAUAAACAAGCAUUGGGAGACGAAUAUCUACAUCAGUGAGAUCAAUGAGCUUGGUAUCCUCAGCAGUUCCGAGUAGAGGUUCAUCACUGGGAGGUUUCAACAUGACCUAAAUCAUCAAACUGUGUGAGUUCUAAUUAAUUAACAAAUAAACAAACAGCAUAUCAUCAAACACAAACACCCACCACCCCACCUGCCACCAAAAUACUUGAAAUACAAAGCCUCAAAAUAUCUUCGGCACAUUAUUACUGCUAGCAUAAACAUAAUGUGUUUAAAAGAAUACUAACCAUACAAACCCUGUUACCCUCAACAGAUUAUUUCAGAUCCUAAGAACAAAUACCUGAAUUAUACCAGCAUGAUCACCCCGAGAGUGCUCAGAAGAUGGGUUCAUCCAAGUGCCUGGCCAGUGGGUCCCAUCAGCCAUCCAUGUGGCUUUUGGAAUCUUCACACUCUCCACUGGUUCAUCAUCCCUGUUCUGUCUCUGAAGCUUCAUGGCCUUGAUUUCCUCCCUAGCAUGAUAAGCAUCAGACCGGCGACGUAUAGAUUCAGGUAAACCAUUGAUCCUGACCUUGAACUCAUCAUACUCGCGCUUAACUCGUCUACGGUCCUUCACAAAAUCUGACUUUACUUUGUUCUUGUAAGGAUCCCUCUUCAAAUUGAAGUAAGAUUCUGGAUUUCUGGGCUCAAUAUCAUGUUUCCGACAAAAUGGAACCCAUAUAUUAGCAAAGCUUGCAGCUUCUGCCAUGGCCUCAAAAGUUAAAAGUGCACCUCCAUCAUCAGAAACAUAACAAGCUAGCUUCUCUACUGGGUAAUCAGCAGCCAAAAUUGACAAGAUAGUGUUGGCAGUAACAAGAGGUGGUUCUUUCUCUGGAUCAGCAGUAGAGACAUAGACAUCAAUGCCUGGAAGGUCAGAUUUUCCAGUGGGGUUGUUGGGGGUAGGUGUUUCAAAUUUGUCCUUCAAGACGUUAAGAUCUGUCACACGGUUGAUUGGGCAGAGCUUGGGGAGUUGGUCAAGAAGCCAGGAAAAAGCGAACCAGAUUUCACAAACCACAGACAUCCCCCAUAGCCAAACCGCAUCUUCGUUUUUGUGCUUGAUCCUCCAUGCCAAGAACAAGCUCAGAACGGCCAUCCGAACAAAUAUGAUAACCCUUUUAGAACAAAAGCAAGAGAGAGCAAACUGCAUCCAUCAGUAUAAGAGCAAGAGGAUGACAAAAAAGUAAAACAUUUACUCUCACGGUACCUCUAAAUGUUACUAAAUUUGAAAUCACAAAGGCCCUAGAAUGCUAAUAAAAUUCGCCGGGAAGUGUAUGAUCUUAGAUCUAUUGGUGCCUUCAUUAGGGCAGAGACAUUUGGGGAUUAAAAAGAUUAUGCCAGGGGCAUGCUUAUGUGGAAGGUGUUCAGAAACAGCCAAUCUGGAUAUAUUGGUGAAAUGAAAACACUAAGAAGUGUUUUGACCUUUCAAAAUAUCAUAGCAAUUUUUUAAUAUCAGAGCAACAUAUAAAGUCUAAAGCAGAAGAAUUGCAUAAUGAACAAUAAGAACAAAGACUAUACCGAUAUGGGCUAAUAAUAGCAGCAGGUAUUUUCAGUUUCCGGGUUAGUGGCCUCCACGGCUUGUUCAUCAACUCUUGUGGCUCUGCAACUUCACCAUCUUUACCAUUUCCAAAAUUUCCAUCUUUAGGCCAUAUAGCAUUCCCAUAGCCAUAAGUUCCUCUUGUCUCAAACAGCCAACGAUUAUGAUCAAAGUCACCGGUUUGGCUCCUCAUCAGCACAGACUUUGUUGACUUCAUCAAAGACAACCUCCUCUCCAUUUUCGACAUCCCAGCCGGAGGAGGAAGUGGAAGUGGCCGCCCAUUAUCCACAGCUACUUCAUCUAAAUCUGUGUUCUUAUAUGGCUCUUUACACCCUGGGCAAAUGCCACCUCCCGUUUUCACAGCAUCAAUAUAGCAAUCCCUGCAUAUUUUAAAAUCACACUCGCAAGGGAGAAUGUCCAUACCACGCUCAUCACUCAUCACAUUGGCAUCACACCCGAGGACUGAACAGGAAGACCCUUUUGCACCAGCCAUCUGGGGAUGAUUUGCUUCAGAUUCAAUCACCUUAUCCAUGAGAUGAGCCCGGGUAACACUAUUGAAACCACCCGUAAAGAGCGAAUUCGACACAUACUGCUCCUCAACCUUCUGUGAGAUUGAUGGAUCCAUAGGUUGGUUGUCAGGGGUGGGUGGAAUGUGUACUGUAUAGUUCAUGAAAUCACUACUCCCAAGUUCACUAUCAAGAUCAUCCCGUGAGUAGUUGACAUAGCGACCCGAGGAAGUCCUCCGGGCAAAUGUCACAGUUGGAGGUAGUGGAGGCUUGAGUUCCUGAGCAUCUGAAGAUGUUGAUAGAUUUGACCGGCUACCUCUAAAGGAUUUUGAUGCCAUAAUUGAAAAAUACUAGAAAAGCAACCUUCAGUCCUGAAAUUAAAAAAUGCAAUGAAAUUCAAUCUCCAUCAAAAUACACAUUAGACAACUACUACUAUGAAUGUCUUUGGCUUAAAAUCCAAAUCCAAACCAACAAUUCGAUACUGUCUUUCGUUGUUGAAGAGUAAGAUAAGAUACAAUGACAUAUAUGGGUUGAUUCUUACAAUUUUGACAUCUUAAUAACAGAUCAUGAACAAAAUAAUUAAUGGGACCACUUUAUAAAAGUUUCAAAAUUUUCAAAAAUCCUACCUAAAUGACCAGAACUCAGUAACAACAGAUCAGUCGAAAAUGUCACAAAUCUCUGUUUAUACACCCCCUAGAAUUAAUAAGAAAUACAAAAAAUUCUCAGAUUGUCAACCAAAAAGCUUAAAUCAACUAAAAGAUGAAAGACAAAGCAGCUCUCAACUCCACUAAGUAACCCUUUAAACUAAGUGCGAAACACCAAAUGACGAAAGCCCAUCAUCCAAAAAGUUCAUUUUCCUUCAUUGUCCUUACACUUUCCUACCAACCAAACAGCAAAAAGAAGAAAAUCCAUUUACUCUUUAAGCGAGCAAAGAUCGGACCAUGUCCGAAAACUUACCUUUUUUUAUACGAAUAUACAACAAGAGUACUUUAAUUUAGAUCCAUUUUUGUCCAAACCCAAGUAGAAUAAACCAAAAAAGCAGCUCUCUUUCUCUCUAAAUCUGAAUGAUUCAAAACACUCUCCCUCUUCGACUUUGUUGAGGGCUUCAACUGUCUUAAAAUGGAAAAUAAAUAAACAAAUAACAUAAGAAUUAUAAGAGACUUAGUCGUGAGCAAGACUACGAGCACUACUCCUUCACGAUUUAAAAGCUUGCUUCUUAUUAUUAUUAUUUAGUAAUUAAAAUAAUACAUAGCUUUUAUAACAUUGAAAGAAAAAGAAAGAGAGAGAAGCUUCUUUGUUCUGUGUGAGUGGGUAUCCGCGGAUCGCCGGCUGUUUAUGGGUUACGACCAGACCGGCUCUUCACUAAACUCUCUACUCUGUUGCUGCGUACGAGGGACAAAUCUUUUUUUAAUUGUUAUUUAUUAAUACUUAUUAUUACCAGAGCCAAAAGAAAAGGGGCUGUUUAAGAGGAUUUUUAAAAUAUUGUAAAAGGGCAUUUUGGGGUUUUGGUGCUAACUUGGAGAUCCAAAGAAGAGGGUAUUGAUGGAAAUUCGCGAGAAGAUGAGAUGAGCAUAAUUAUGAGAAAAAUUUUGGAUUUUUUUUCCUUGUUUGGUUUUUUUUUUUACACUCAGUUAGGCUUGAACUCGUGAACUCUUAUAUUUAUAGUAAAGAAUUAAGAUUUUAUUUGAUAUUGAGGUAUUGUAAUUUUUAAACUAUAAUUAUAUUAAGAAAAAAUUGUAAUUCUAAAAUAAAAAUUAGUAAUGUGUAGUAAGUAAAUAAUAAUUUUGAAAAAAUAAUAUAAAUAUAAUAAACUUAAAGCCACGGCAUCAAGUAUUUACUAAAUAUUUUUAGUAUCGUACUUUAAAAAUUACAAAUAUCUACCUCAAUACCAAAUAGGCCUAAGUGAACUUGACCAUCAUUUAGGGAUCAAUUUAUAAAAUUAGAUAACAAUUGUCAUUACCAAAGGUAUGAUUAACAUGUCCAAGUGUUAUUAAUAAAGUUUUAUUGUAUUUUUAGUACAAUAAUUAUUAUUAUACGUUGUUGUCAAAUGUCAAUAACAUAAUAGAUAAUGAUUUAUAACAUAUCACUCGAAUACAAAAUUUUAAUAGGUGAAGUUAGAUAAUAAGCAAAAUUUUAGUUGAUGAAGCUAGUUAAUAAACGAAACCACUCAAUAACCCAGUAGUAAAAUACAAAUUACAUAUUUUCUCACUUGCGUAGGUAGGACUUUGAAAUCUCUCCUACGCACAACGAAGGUUGAUUUUAUUCAAAAUAUUUGAAAAAUAGAUACAAUCUAUUAUAGAGCUAAGUAUUUUAACUCAUUUAUCAAUAAAUAUUCAAUUUAGGAGUUUUUGAUGAGCUUCAAAACUCAAAAGUUUGAUUCAAGAGGCUUCGGUGGUCCUAGAUAUGGGCUUGCUAAUUGCUAUUGCUGUGCUAUUAUUAGAGAGCUACCAAAAAUUGAAAAACAUAUGAUACUCUUGUAUUGUAUUGCAACAAUAGCAAGAAAGGAUCACACUAGUAUAAAAGGUGUGGGACUGCUGACGUGUAGCGCGUCUGUAUGCGUGUUGACGUGUCAAACUGCUAGUUGUUUACGGGUUGUAAAUUGUAGUCCUCUGCAACUGGCACGCCUUUACCUACCGUGGUCAUUCGUCUUGAGCCGCUUGAAAGUUGAAACCUACCAUUUCUGGGAACAAGUCAUGCAGUGAAUGGCUGGCUACGUGGAACGAUUCGUUUUUUGUUCUAAUUUAGGUAGCGUUUACUUUUUGGAUUGGAUUGGGAAUUCUGGGGAGUGAGAAUCCUAGGAUUGGGAGUGUGGAGUGGGAGUGAGAGUAGGUUGUUUACUUACACUGGAAUGGAAGCAUGGAAUGGAGAUCAGAAUCCAAUUUAUGUGUUUACUUUGUCUUGGAUUGGGAGUAAAUAGUUUCAAAUUACAAUUUUAUCCUUAUUUAAAGAAUUAUAAUUUUUAAUUACAAAACUAAUAAAAAAUAUAUUUAAUGAAUAAUAUUUAUUUUAUUAUAUUUGUAAAUUUAUUAUAAUUAUUAAUAUUCUUAAUUAUGAACAAUAAAUUAUUAAUUGUAAUUUUAAUAUAAAAUGAAAUGUUAUUUUAUUUUAUUUAAUAUAAUUAUAUUAAAUUUAUUAUUAUAUAAAAUAAUAAUAUAAUAUUAUUUAGUACAAAAUUAAUAUUUUCUUAGAAUAAAGUAUUUAUUAUUAUUAUUAAAUAAAUAUAGUACUAUUAUUUUUAAAAUAAAUAUAAUAAUAUUAUAUUUAUUAAUUCUCUAUUAAUAUAAUAUUAUUAUUUUAAAAUAAUUUUAACUUAGAAUCAAUGUAAAUUAUUAUUUAGUUAAAUAUAAUAUUAUUAUUUAAAUAAAUAUAAUAUUAUUAUUUAAAUAAAUAUAAUAAUAUUAUUUAAAUAAAUAUAAUAUUAUUUAUUUUAUUUUAUUAAUUAUAAAACAUAAAAUAAAAAAAAAAGGUAGAAAUGGGAGAGGUGGGAGUGGAUUCCCACUCCCACCUCCCCCAAUGGGAGUCCCACUCCCACUCCCCACUCCAAAAAUGGGUGGGGCCCACGGAGUGGGAUUCCCAAUCCCUCCCCAUUUUAAGUAAGUAAACGCUGGAGUGGGAGGAAUCCACACUCCUCACUCCCACUCCAGCAAGUAAACACAACAUUAGAGGUUGGGCCUUUUCAAGUAAAUCAAACUUCCUAAACUACCCUUAUCCGUCAGAUCAUUGAAUGUCCGAAGUACCCUUAUUAGUUCGCUUCAAUUGCAGAGUAGUCCAUUUAAAUCAAAACGCGGGAUGGGCGGAAAGAUUAGCGAAUGCCUGUCUGUCUCGUGCGUGGCUUUUCGUCUAUUUCAUUGUAGUCGAAGAUAUUCAAUUACCGUACUCAUUCGCUUUCCUUCCAAAUGACGGUUCCCACAAGCCACAUCCUUCAUAGACGCGUGCUCACACGCACGAUCCCAUCACGGGAGAAUUAUAAGUCUUUGCCUUGAUCGGCAUAGCAUUUUUAGGUAGAGAUUUUUCAAGUUAUGAUUUUUACUAAAAAGUUUCUAGUUAUUAUUUAUGAUUAAGAGCUCUUAUUAGAAAUUAGUUUUCUUUUUAUGAUACAUUUAAUCGGAAUAACUUACAAUCUGAUUGGAUUGCAGGAUUUUUUUUAAGAAGAUAAACACCAUUAAAUAAUUUAAUUUUUCAUUUUAGUUGUCUAAUCUAAUAAGUGGAUAUAUUUUUAAAAGUAUAUUACAAAAUGAAUAAAAUAAGAAUGUGAAAUAAAUAAAAAUUAUUUCAGAUAAUUUUUUUUUAAAAAAAAAACUCUACAAUAUUUAUCCUAAUCUAUUUAUUUUCUAUGUUGGGUUAGUUACUUAUUAAAAAAUAAACGGGUUAGGAUUUUGUAAUCGUGUUAAAUUUUCUAACACAAUCUAUUAAUAAUCCGAUUAAAAUUUUAUAAUCUACUUAUUAUUAGGAUUUUAUUUAUCCUAACCCAUUUAUUUUCUAUAUUUAUUAGUUCAAACACAAUUUAUUAAUAAUUGUGUUAAAUUUUAUUUUAACCUGUUUAUUUUUUAAUUAGAUUAGAAUUUAAAAUUUUUAACACGAUUAUUAAUAAAUCUUAUUUGAGACAGUUUAAAUUUGAUAGGACAUGAAACUCAUGCGAAAUGAACAUGACUUGGUAAUCUGCUUUUGUCAGAUAUACUGAGAAUAACGAAUAUGAGAUCUCACACACUAAUGAACUUUGAGCGUCACGGCACGCGCCUUAAAGAGCAUGCUUGCACGACACUUCAGAGCGUAGCCACGAGCAACGGGCUCCGAACAAGCCCCAAUGAGGAGAGAAUAAUAAUUGAGAAAAUACAAGAUUUUGGUCGGGUCGGGUCAAUGAUUGAGAAAAUCUAAAUUUGAGGAAGUUCAGAUGUAAAAAUUGAUAUAAAAUGUCAUUUAAGACCCUUAUUUUUGUUGGAUUUUAUUUUCGACCUUAGGGUUUAGCCCCAUGCCUCAGUAUAGUUCUGCCCUUGGAGUUUACUCACCGUUAAUUGAUACAGUUUUGAUAUUGUUAUAUUUUUUGAGUUGGACUAUUGACACCUAUUUAUUAAUCUCAUUAAACUCCUUUUAUAUUACAACUAUUUUUAAGGAUAAAUUUAACUAGAGUUAAACUAUUUGUAUUUUCUUUCUCUCCUCAUUUUUAUUUUGCUUACACAAUAUAAAUUUUUUUUUAUUAUCAUUUAAAUAAUUUGAAUUUAAGAAGUAAUCCUCUAAGCCAAAAUAAAUUCUUGUAAUAAACAUAACAACUUAACUAAGAUACAACAUAAAGAAAAAAUAAAUUAAAUAAAAUUUUGUCCCAUUGCAACUAAUUUUUUAAGGAUUCUCAAACUAAUAGCUAAACCCAAUGAACCCAAAUUUUAUAGGUAGGAUAAAAUUGUAUUAAACCCAUAAAAUAUUCAUUAUUUUCUAAGUAUAAUGUUUUUCUUACUUUUUCUUUUAGAUUUUUUUCUUUAGAAAUUAAAUAAUAAAGAAAGUUUGAAAAGAAGAAUAUAGAUAUUAAGACUGAAAGAGUGCGAAAAAUAUUAGAAACUAAAAAAUUCAUAAAUACAAAAAUGUGUUCAUUAAAAAGGAUAUUUUUGGUAUUAAAUGGAAUAUAAUUAAAAAAAGGGGUUUUAAUAGGAUUCUGCAGGGGUGCUAAUAGUCCGACUCAUAUUUUUUACGUUGGAUAGAAAAUAUGUAUUUGACUUUUUAAUUAAGAAUUGAUAGGCAUUUUGAGGGGGCAAAACAUGUGUAUGCUUCUCAAUUUUGAGAAAAAAAAAUAGACACAUCAUGUGAUUUUUAUAUGCAUCCAAUAAUAUUUUGACACAUAUAUACUUUCGUUUAGAGUUGAGAAUCAUACAUAAUAGAGAAGAAAAAAAAUCAUUUCAAACACACGAUAUACAUUUAUUGGCACCGUCCUGGAGUCUUUUACAGCUUUUGUACAUAUGGCAUUAUUGUUAAUUAUUUAACUGUCACUCCCAUCUCUCUGAAUUCAAUUUUUUUAGCUUAAAAUUUUGACAUAAAUUAUGUGCUAUUAAUUUCAAGAAAUUUAAUGGUUGAUGAAUAGCUAUCAUUAAAUGCCACUUCAAUUUUUAAUAUCUACUAUUAUAUUGAAAUAAACCCAUCAUGAUUAAAUAUUUUGGUAAUGUACAAAGAAAAAGUAAAUUAAGUAGGGCUUAUUGUAAACGAUUAUAGGUUUUAGUUGACUUAACUGACAAAAUUUUUGUGAUGGUACAAAAACUUUGGGUUUUGAAUCUUGCUGAUAUGGGUGAGGAAAGAAUUUGGUUACCAUCACAUUACUUAUUAAAAAUAAAGAAGAAAAAUAUCGCUAUUUCUAAUUAGUUAUAAUUAAAUUAUUCUUUUAAAAUAGCAUAUUAAAGGGUCGUAUUAUUUCACUUAAAAUUUUGUUACAAUUUUUAUACAGGAAUUUCGUGCAAUCUAAUGCCAAAUAUUCAAAAUAACAUUUAGGGUGAUGUUUGAUUUGAGGAAAUGUGAGAAGGUGAGACGAGAGAAAAGUGAAGGAAAAGAGAGAAAAGGAUAGGAGAGCAGAGUGAAAUACUUUUUUAAUAUUUGGUUUGUUACAAAAUUAUACAAAGAAAGGAAAUCUCAAAUUUUUAAUUUAGACAAUUUUAGCCUUAACAAGUGUUAAACUUUCAAUAUUUAUUAUAAAUAUAAUUCAAAAAAUUAAACAAUAAUAUCAGAGAGAGAGAGAGAGAGUCAGGUCACAAGAGAGAGACACGGAUCAACCCAAACCCGAGAACCCGAGCCGCCAACCGUUUUUUAUUUUGACCACAUCACAAGCAAUGGAAGGCACUGAUCGAAACCUCAAGAGCCGGCCAUCAUUCCCCAGCCAUCACUACAGUCGAGAAACUGCGAAAAAGCCGCCGAUUAAAGCGUGAAAAGCCAAGGAUAAUGCUGCCUCAAAUCGACAUUAUUUUUUUACAGUUUCCAGUCACGCUGUUGCCUUGGUUUUGUCUAUCACGGCUGCCACUUCCAUUUUCGACCAUCCACAGCUACCAGGAACCACCAAAUCACCACCGAUCAACCGGAUUUGUCAAAGACACAAAAGUUCCUAAAUCGAAUUUGAACAAUAUACAUCCAUAUUUUUUUUUAUCUCGAUGACAACGUAUUAAUGUUGAUUGUUAGCUGUCGAGUCCAACGGUAGUGACGGUAAGAUAGCACGCGCCAACAACAGCAGCAUCGACGGUGGAGGUCCGACGGUCUGACGACUAUUAAAAUUAUAUUUCUAUAUUUUUAGAUUAAUUAAGCAAAUAAUUUUAUUUUAUUAAGCUAUUUAAAUCAUUACUUAAAGUUAACUAAUAUAAA
This 57149-nucleotide long non-coding RNA is filed under the name Citrus maxima (pomelo). RNAcentral's name for it is "long non-coding RNA (CMAX_LNC002503)". The record is from RNAcentral. Lineage: Eukaryota; Viridiplantae; Streptophyta; Magnoliopsida; Sapindales; Rutaceae.